Molecule: long non-coding RNA, 58543 nt
Filed under: Physcomitrium patens
Lineage: Eukaryota; Viridiplantae; Streptophyta; Bryopsida; Funariales; Funariaceae
Description: long non-coding RNA (PPAT_LNC005805)
Source: RNAcentral
UUGCGGAAAUUAGCAGGGUAAGACUGGCUGGGUCUGUAAUCACUAAAGUAAUUGUCUUUGGGCUGAUAACCUCUUUCAGGUUCAGCAGAGCGGUAGUGGUAUCCACCUCCUCCAUAUGCAACCCGUGGGUCCAUUCCUCCGUAUGGAACUCGAGGAUCCAUUCCUCCAUAUGGGACUCGAGGGUCCAUUCCUCCGUACGACAUUCGAGGGUCCAUUCCUCCGUUCGACAUUCGUGGGUCCAUUCCUCCGUUCGACAUUCGUGGGUCCAUUCCUCCGUUCGACAUUCGAGGGUCCAUUCCUCCAUAUGAGCUCCUAGGAUCCGCAUACAUUGUUCUGGGAUCCAUCGUAGGUUGAAAUCCUCUAUAGUCAUAGCUGUGUGGCUGGAAAGAUGCUGGAUAUUCCAUUUUCCUGUCGUUGUUCUGGAUGUGAUUCUGGUGAUUGUUGCCACCUCCACCACCUCCGCCACCACCUUUAGCCUUCGCUUCGCCGCCACCUUUACCUCCGCCUCCUUCGUUCUUAUUCUGAUUGUCGUUGCCACCUCCACCACCACCUCCUUCUUUACCCUUGGCCUUUCCUUCGCCUCCACCUCCACCUCCGCCUCCCUCACUCUUGUUUUGGUUGUUGUUGCCACCGCCACCUCCACCUCCACCUCCUUCUUUAGCCUUGGCCUUCCCUUCACCACCCCCAUUACCUCCGCCUCCUUCUUUCUUAUUCUGAUUAUUGUUGCCUCCGCCUCCACCUCCACCACCUUUGCCUCCACCUCCUUCGUUCUUAUUCUGAUUGUCAUUGCCUCCACCACCACCACCACCUUCUUUAGCCUUGGCCUUCCCUUCACCACCCCCAUUACCCCCACCUCCUUCUUUCUUGUUCUGGUUGUUGUUGUUACCGCCACCACCGCCGCCGCCUCCUCCUCCUCCACCACCUUCUUUAGGUUUGGCUUUCCCUUCACCACCACCACCUGAUUCUUUCUUAGCUUCCACAGGCCAAUUGGCCGCCUUCUUGUCUACGUUCUUCUUGAAUUUCUUUAACAAAGACGCAGGAUCGAUAUAUCCUACGACAGUAACUUUGCUGUGGCCACGGUCAAUGCUCACUGAUUGCACACCUGCACCGUGAAAAAGAGUCCUUUAGUGUACGUAAAUAGAAUGUCGAAGCGGAAAGCUUGAUAAAUUUCUCGAUGAAAGACUACCUCAAUUCGUUUGCGAUGACAGAAAGACAGACGGAAUAACACUCACAGAACAAGCUCUGUAUAAAAAGUGCGAAUAUUCAUUCUUCUCGUACACAUUAUCUGCACCAACUAUCAAGAGUGAAAUUGAGGAUGGCGAAAGAAAAUAAUAGUACCAGGGGCAUAUCGGGCUUCCUCCAGAACCUUCUCCUCGCACUUGGGGCAGCACAUCUUCACUUUGUACUCAUAUUUCUGCAACCCAGCAGAGGGACAGUGAUUCAUCCAAAAUGCGUUAACCGUUGAAUAGCCGCGAAUUCAUAAGGUAAGUAGAUAAAAAAUGUCUACCAACAGAAGUGGAGAACACCCACACUACAAUUGACCUCACAAUAUCACCAAUGCUUUCCACAGACCGAGUCUAAUAAGUGAAGAAUCAAGAGAUGGACGCGAGUAACAUUACUUACAGGCACUGAGGGUGCCUUGGGUUUGUUGUCUUUCUGCUCGCCCUUGUUAUUAUUGUUGUUCUUUUCACCACCACCACCUCCUCCGCCACCUCCCUUUCCCUUUUUACCCUUCCCAUCACCAUUCUCAGUGAUCCAUUCAGGAUCAUUGUUCUUGUUCAUAACCUGAGCGAUUCAUUCUAGAUGUCAAUGAAACCUCUACAAUAAUAAUACAGGGAACGCAGGAAGAAAGAACACAACGCCCACUUUACUUUCUUCCCGAGUUCGAACACCAUCUCAUUUUACCGCCAAGAAGUGCAAAAAAGCCCAUAAUCCCAAAACCUGACAUACAGACAAGAUUCAAAUAACAUAAUUUCAUCCUCUCGUAGUAAGACAAUCAUGUUCAACGCAGCAAAGCUUUGUAGCUGCAAUCACUAAAACGAAGGUCCUCGUCUAAAACACUGAAGCGACGGCGUGUCACAAACACAGAAAACACACGAACACGCACGAACCCGCAACAUCAAAGUGUUACCCAAACCAGACAUUCAGUGGUCAAGUCGACAACAUACCUCGUUCAUGGACGCCAUCUCGACGCAGCGUCACGCCCACAACGAUCUGAACCUCUUAUCACCAACAGAGCUAACCCACUUUACUGUUCCCAAGAAGGAUAGUAUAAUUCUCACUUAAAGCACCCCACCCCCAGCUAAGUCUGCCAUCAAGGAGCAGCGGCAACUGGACUCACGAGAAAGCCGAAUACAAUGGAUCAAGGGACAGGCAUGAAAUAUGCUCACGACGGGACAGGGGACAGGAUUGUUGAGACAAUUCAGCUUCAAAGGCGGGGAGCUUCGAGGAUGAAAUGGGGCGCUUGGGGGACGGUGGCCAGAGAUGGGGCUAAGGUGGCAUUUCAGUAAACAACAUUAUAUGAGAAUAAAGCCUACAAACCAUUUGUGAGAUUUUUUGUCGUGCCAGUGGGACCCGCUUAAAGAAUGAGUAAGCAUAGGGUACUAGGACGGAGGGAGGGCCACCUUCCGGGAACACGACAAACACUCAAGUGCCAAAACUACUUUGAAAGCGAGGCCACCUGUUGCCUCUACAGCUAGAAACUUGAGACCGUGACGGUAGAGUCCAGGGCCCUCUUGGAGAGCCUGUGCUCCUCUCGUCCAUGCUCCUCCAGACUUCCGAUGGGGUUGGCUGAACGCAUCCUAGGUGCGUCAGACCCGCCUGUUUUUAUCAUUGACGGAAUCAGCAGCAACAUCACUAAACUUGCGCUACCUCACAAGUAGCAACUCCCCUUUCGUCGAUGGCUUUAAGAAAGAAUGAAAUAAAGAGAACACUGAAGCGUGUGCACUGGGAUCCACCUUUUCCCGACUACUCACAUACGACAAUCCUAAAAUUUCAUCCUUUUUGACGAUAGGUUGUUGCGUUGAAUUGUUUAGCGGGCAACAUUUUUUGGUAUUAAAAAUAUCGUGUAUUAAUUCAGUAUGUAAUACGACAAAUCUCCAUACACACGAGAACAAAAAGUACCUAUAGAUUGCCCUGGAAAUAAAGUUUCAACAUUGCAGACAAUCGUGUGACGUACUGCCAUUGUCUUGGCAAAACUGGAUCCCUCCUAUUGCGAUUCAAGUUAUCUCAAUCGACGAUGCAUAGGUUUCGAUGAGAAAUUGAUGGUGGCAUUCGGAGAGACGAAUGAUUUUCCUGGAAACCCCAACUGUUCUUGAUGUCAAUCUGGUUACAUUGUGUUGAAAAGAAAUAGGAGCAUAGGCACAAUGGGAGCUGGUAAUAGAAGAUGCGGUGCUCCAAUUGCCAUCAACUGCGAUGCUUUGCAGCAUGAAUAGUUACUGAUGCGGUGCUUUUCGUGUUUUAUAAGUUGUAAACUACAGAAAUUUGGAUUAUCGAAUUGCUCAAAUUUGUUUCAUGAAUUCAGUGCGUGUCGGACGGAAAUAGUAAUUCAGCAAAGAAGACCACCCAUCCUCUCUGAUCUUUUUUUGGUACGCGAUGUGACAACCAGCAGAUCAGGCUCUGUCAUUAAGACGGACACCUGGAAUAGCAAUCUUGAAAUUUCGGAUUCUCUGACCAACUACACCACUCCCGAGAAUCUCUCAACAUACAUGCUGGCCUGCAUACUCGUUCACGGUCAUGUGUAAUGAUAGCAAUUUAACAAACGUCAUGAGGUAAUAGGUUCUCUCUAAAUACCCAGUCACUUGGAUAUGCACCUGUUGACACAUCUGCUAACAAUAGGGUAGAUCCUCUAUUUCCAUCACUAUAUCCAGAAUGUGUCUUAAGGUUCGUCAACAGCAAGUUGCGCGUCCAAAGCUGAAAAAUCUUCGAAAAAAGCUUUGAAGUGAUUGUAUGAAUAUCCAACAUCAUCAACUCCGCACAUCUCUCUGAUGCUAUGCAUCGACAACUGGGGUGCCCCAACAUCAACAGUACGAAUGCCAAUUCCACUAGCCAAGAUAGGUCCAAUAGUGGACCCACAUGCCACAUCAUUUCGCACCACAAAGUUCUGUUUCAAAACAUAAAACCAACAAAAUGAGUUUCUAAAGUAGUGCAAAAAUUCUCACAAAAAAUACACCAGAUGCUCUUCCGAAACCACAGCUAAGAUAACAAACAUGCGAGAUCUGUUCAUCGUAAAGCAAAUGUAUAAGAUGAUCGUACAAAUUAUCAGAUGAAACGCAGACCCAGUAAUCAGAUCUAACCUGUGUAGGAAGAUUGCGCAACUUCGCUAUCUCUCGGAAGAUGAAAGAAGUUAUGGCAUUCGUUGCGUAGCGCUGGUUAGCAUUGUCUUUAAUCACAAGCCCUCUGUGCAUCUUUGGCUGAUGGUUCUCCUCAUGCUUUUCCUGGAUUAUUUCCAAAAGUAAUUCAUAAACAAUCACCUAGUUAUUAUAUGGGCAAGUGAAAUCUCAUUCCACUAAUUGAUGCAGCUCUCCAUCCACUAACUAUCGAAACACUAUAACUUCGUUUAGUUCUAGACAGCACAACCACACCAAAAAGAUGUAUACUUGAAAACGAAGCUAUCAUCAAUCCAAUCUUCGCAGCAAGAGGCUAAGCUAGCAGCUCACCGGGUAAUUGGGAUGCAAACAAUGCGCCAUGUCUGCAGAAACCAAAAAGCUCUUCUGAAUUGCUCUCUCUAAAAGCCCCUGAGGUGCGCAGAAAGUAACAGGUCGUAAGUGAUCUCGGCUCAUCUUACUGAAGGUCCUGACAGCCCUUUCUUUCUAGGACUACCUAAUACUACAAUCUGAAAAAUAAUUUGGACUAGUACGUUUGUCAGAUCCAAUAUGCUAGUAUCCACAAAGAUGUACAAAACCAUUGAGAUUACAAGACUAUCUUGUAGUACAGUUUCGUACAAUCACGCCGCUCGCACGCCCUCACCCGAGGGCAUCAAAGAUUCGCUGAUUCGACUCUGAAAAUAGUUUUGGACUUCCAAAAAAUUACUUUAAAGAACUUCCCACCAUUCACAGAACCAGAGCUUGUUACAACCUGAAGUACAGCUAAUGUGUUCAAAAUGGCGAUACCUCAGCAGAUGAUUCCCCAAAAUGGCUUGUGAUACGUCUCAAAGCAUCAACCAGAACUGGAGACCCGGCACCCUGAGCGGAUUGAGAACCUACUUCUUCAUGAUCGAACAAAGCGACCAUGCGUAUUCCUACUUCUUCGGCCAAAUCUGAUGAUGAGUCGAUCAAUGCCUAAAACCCCACAUACAACACAACAUUUGGAGAAUAUUAGCAGAAUUCAUAAUUAGGAUACUCCGUCGAUCACAUAAUCAUUUUCCAGCAUCACAUUAGGGUAAAAAAGAAUCCUAAUCCUCGCAAUAAAUAAAUAAACGACUAUAAUCGCUUAAAAUAAACAAUUUUGUACUUGGAUUGAGAAUAUGUAUCAAAUUAUAUGAGGGGUUGACCUAUAGCUAACUGUAGUGAGCAAGUGCAACGGCCAAUAUGAAAUCAGAUCGUUCAGUUUAAGCCACUGUAAGAUUACAUAUCGUAUUUUGAGUACCGAGAAUCUUCUCGUUGACAACUCAACAUUAGGAUUUAUCUUACCUUCAAAGAGCAAAAAGACGAACAGAGAUUGUCGAGUCUGCCUGAAAAUAUGAAUUCUUUCAGAGCUCCACCAAUAAUGCUAGGUUGCGUGUCACAAACUUGAAUAUCGAAGUCAACAAUUUCAUCAGGUUUGCAUGCAAGCUCGUUAGCAAGUAACUGAAAGGCAACCAAUUGAGGGAUAGGUUAGGCAACACGAAGCCAACAAUUACAACGACGGAAGUCGGAAAACUGGUCGUAAUUGUAUUACUUUAGUGAAGCAGGAUCACAUCACAGUGAUCAGCAGUCAAGACAACCAUGGACUUCAACUCAAGGUAAAUCGAACCCUACAUUAAAUAGAUGAGGAACACUUCUUCACUCUAAAACAUGUGGAGAACGAAAAUCGAUUUGAUGCGCUUAUCACUUAAGAUUGAGACACGAAGUACCUGUAGAAGAAGUGGAUGAUGAUCAUCUGAUUGAUUUCCAUUGCAUUUAGAGGGUGAAGUGUCCUCUUCCGUACUAUUGGACCCGGCGGGCUUGUUUGUUUCCGCCUGUCAUAUUUCACGUAACACCAUUAGGACCUCACUUUUCUACUUUUCCUAGAAUACCGCUAAUACUAUGUUUGAGAAUUUUGAACACUUCCCGAUACAUGAUCAAGGAAUUCAGGGCCUUGUUGCGACGUGAGUAAAUUACUGUGUCGAUUCCAAAAUAUGCGAGACUUAAAACUUGUGCAGAAGCAGAUCUUACUUUAAUUAUUGAAGCUAGGACAGGUGCUAAAUGUGUCUGCGUGUUAACUUUGAACCCAUCAUUGACACCUCUGCAAGCACGAUCAAUCAUCAGUAAAAUGUUUAAUGAGAAAUACAUGCCCCGAAGACAUCUUUCUGGUGCAAACAUCAUACAAUCAAAGAGAGCCAUCACCGCUAGCACCAUAAUAAGACCAAUCAGUGGAGUAAUAUUUCUUUGGCAGUGAAGAAAGGGCUCCAAUAUACAUUAUUAAAAUCAUAAGAUUAUCAAACCAAAAUAAAGAUGGCCAUUACCACAGUAAGGAUCCUAAGCUGUAAUGCUGGAGACAUCGGGAAUAGAAAGUGUUUAGAGACAUGCACUACUUCAACUCAUACCAUCACAUAUGUGCAAUGUCUACUGAAGCCACCUUUACCUGUAUACAUCAGAACGAGAAAAAUAAAACCGUAAAAUGUGAAUUACCUGUCCAGAUGAAUGGCAAGUGUAGGAAUCCGCAUGAUCGGCUGCUCAACUCUUACAAGCUCGUGCGAGUAAGAAGAUUUCUCUCCAUUUUUUCGCUUGAGCACCACUCGCCCAGCAACCGUCAGAUCUCGGUCAAACCAAGUAUGCCAUAAGCCGCCUCCAUAGGUGCUUACACCAACCUCCAAAAAGCCACUCUUGAUGACCUGCGCAAUGAACAAGACAAAGUAACUAUUAGCAAUUCCUAAGCAUAUAACACGGGAAUAGGCUAAGGCAUAAGUUACGUUGAAUCACGUAGACCCCAAAGAAAGUAAUACAAGUCCGAAAAUCUCCCAUUUAGUAGAACAUAAUGAGGCGAUUACCUUCGUUGUAGGCUUUAGUUUUGGGCAGGGACUGUCCGUAUGUGCACCAAUAAUCAAGAAUCCAUUACCAGGAACAUACCUGCACAGAAACAAACGGCGACAAAGAAGAUUGAUAUUGUUAUCAAGCUAAAGGGAAGUAGUUUAAUAUCAAUAAAAAUAAGGACAACUACAACAUAAGGAACAAUUAAAAGGUAGGAAGAAAAACAAACUUCGAAAGCUAGAAAACGUUCAAAUCCAAUAACAAAAAUAACCAAAUUUUAAAAUAAAUAAAAGAAGAAAAAAGAAAAAGAGAAGGAAACUUAGUAGUUUACUGUUUUAUAAUUUUGAUACGAUUAUGAGUGAAAAUACUUUACAUUAUUCUGGACACUAAUGACAUGAUAAAUAAUGGUUAUCCCAAUAAAAGGCUGCAAGCUUCAAACUUUAAUUUGAAGUACUUGCAAUAUGAAACUGAAUAGCCUGAAAUUCAUCGGCAUUAAUCCAGAGCCACCCACUCAUUAAAAGAAGACACAAGGAAUAAGAAAAUAAUGAACAGAACUUGCUUUUUGCCAACUGCGAAAGCAACUAUGGUCGAGUAAUUUCUUGUAAAGAAAUAUCUCCCUCCAGCUUCCAAAGUCCAUGACGCUCUUUCAGACAGUUGCUGAUAGCCUGCUUUCAGUAGUCUGUUUUUUGAUUCCUCUGAACAAACAAGAACAAUCGUAGUUUUUAGACAACAGUAAAAUAGACCUCGAAAGCAACAUAAAUGGACAACAAUGCAUUACUUAAGUCCAGUCGAGAUUUAGAACGUGCAACACAUCACCACAUCACCACAAGACAACAAGAGUAAUACUACACAGUUCCAACAUUUGUAUUGUUCCUAAUCCAAUAAAUCCGAACAUGAUAGUUAGAAGUUUGAAAUUUUAUUUAAUUAAUCAUAAUUGUAAGCGUUUUAUUUCAAAUUCAAAUAACUCGUGACUUGACUUCGGGUAUCCUCGGAUGCAGGUGCAUAGAACAAUCUGGGGGGAAUUUAAAAAGAAAUUGUGCGUCAUUUGAGUAAACCAAAGUAGCAAAUCACACAAUCAGCACUGAAUUGUGAUCGAUUCAGGAAAACUACCAGACAUCAACCACAGUCAUCUUGAAACACGAAGACUUCGACGCCAGAAACUAAACAGCAUCCCGAUAUUAACGAGACGUAAAUUAAAUCAAAUUAAAUUAAAUUAGUAGCACGUUCACUAACUUCAAGUUUCAAUAGCAUAAUCUGGACGCAAAAUCUUGGCGAUCUGCAUCCAAACACCUGGUGCCUAGAUCCUCAUCUCAAUAAUUAAAGCAAGACAUCUGGUACAGGGGUUGUAUAAAUUGGAAAGCUCGUAACGUCUCAUUUUCACACCCCCUCCCAAAACCUUGUAAACCCUAAGAAAAUCUACAAACCGGCAAUCGUUCUGAAAAAUGAGACUGAUCAAUCCAGCGGCUAGUAGCGACUGAGAGGACUCGACAUUCUGAUUCUGCAACAGUAAGACCUCAGUAUCCAAAAAUCUGUGGGACCAAGUAACAGAAAUAAUGGAGUCGGUGAGAAGACUAGAAACGUACGGACGGCAUGGAAGGGAGUUGGAGACGCAUUCAGGAAGUCAACAAGCUCCUGUGCCACAGAAUCCACCAUGGUGCACAAGCGCAAUCGUUAGUGAUGCCGAUGUGUAGUUCGUUAAUGUAUACCCCUCUAAAAACACUUCAAGGGGCUCAAGACCUGGUGUUUAAGAUCGGUUCGAAGCACCGCUUUAUGGAAAACCCCACUUCACGCAGGCUCUGAGACGAAUGAAUGAAACAGAUGUUCCUCCUCAGUUUCCGAUGGAUGACCUCAAUUGGGUCCUUGAAGAACUGGUGCCAUGAUGUGUAACACUCGUUCAUCAUGUUAACAGAGAUGGCUCAGUGUUCUUGACGAGGUUGUCACCACCCAACUGAGAAAGCCUCUGUUCCUAAUGGAAAAAAUCCUAGUUUCGAGGACUUGAUAGGACAAGUUAAUGUUGUUGAAACCAACAAACUCUAUUGGUAAAACCUCAGUCAGUUUUCGACUCGACUCAAUGCGUACGAUUAAGAGAUUCUUUGAACAUUUUUAGUUCUGCUGCUGAAAUUGCAAACGUAAAUUUUUGUUUAGAUGUUGAGAGUGUACGAUAGAUUCAAAGUGUCCUAAUGUGUGUAGCUGCCCGCCCGCUGCCCCCUCCCCGAGUUCCCUGCUACCUCUACAUCUGUUGUGCUUUACGAGCUUGGCAUACACCUUUGAGAAAGUCACCUGCAGACUCCACACAGCGGUGAGAAGCUCUUCGUGAGUGGCUCUUCCGCUCCAUGGAAGUUUCAAUAAUUGCCUCGCCCGGGACCAUAACAAGACCCGAUGGAGCCCAAUUGAUAAGUUUUCUCGUUCCGUCAGUAGCUCGCAUGAAAUGAUCGCGUGCGUGACAUCAGAAGGUGGAAUCUGGUGCUAAAGCAUUCACAACGAGUAUGUCGACAGGGAAUGUUUCCUUGUGUGCAUAUCGUUUCACGAAACCCGGACGAUUCUCAACAAAUCGAGAAUGGAAGGUGACCGCACUGUUGUCGCAUUGAGGCAGACAUAUUGAUCACUAAACAAAUACAAAAACAUAACUCGUUCCGAGGCUCAUUUGCACGAUCCAACAGCUGACGCAGCUGCUUCUGAAACGCUUAACUUUUGCAGCUGUGAACACAAACUCUAAACUGCCCGGUCAAGCGGAUCUGAAUGGCCAUCUGAUUUGGAAAUUUGAGUUUCAUAGAUGAGGUGUGCCAACAAACAUGCCACGUCGGAACUGAUAUCAGCUCAUGGAUCACAAGGCUUCUUGCACGUUGAUAAAGGCAGAUUGAAGUGUGUUCGUGGGCACGAGUGCCGUCAUCUUAGGAAACAUGGAGGAGAGGGCGAUGGAGAAACUGACCCCAGACUGUAUUUAUGUACCAAAUACCUAGAAUUUGACAUGUUGCACUGCAUAUUUGAGAGGAGGAAGUUGAUCUUAAAUAUGCGUACUGUCAAAAGCUUCCAUAUUCUGUAAGAAUAUCUUCAUAAGCUGAUCAUGAACCGUAACGCUAAUUCAAAAAAAGAGUUCUUUUUUACUAAAUCAAGAUAAGGAGCUUCGCAAAGAGGGCAAAACACUUCGAAAGCACUUUUUGAAUUUUUAUCAAGGAAAAUUGCCAAGAUGAACAGCCUUAGUUGUAAGACACUACUUGACACUAAUUUAUGGUACAGCCACACACUUGAGGCAUUUGCUCAGCGUGGUGGUUUAAGAGUAAAAAGAAAAAUGUGAACACUAUCAAGGCACCAGUCCAUAGCUGAUCUAGCUAUUCUCUGCAUCUGAACUGUUAUCCAAUCUAUGUCAAAAACAUGACAAAGAUACUACUGUACAAGACAAACAUAACAAGCAGAACUGAAAAGGUAGAUCGUUGACUUCGAGAUGCGAAGAGUGAAAGAUGGAUCCCAUACGAACCCCUUUAAUAUGAGUGGUGCCUCUGAUGUAGUUCACUGCUGACUUGCCGGAGGUGGUAAAGAUGCAAGAUUGGAAACCAAAAUUGGGGAAGCAGAAAAUUCACAUAGACCGGUUUCCUCUUGAAUGUCGUAAAAUUUCCGACCCCGGACUACUCGCGUGCACCCGCAAAUCCUGACCAACAGCUCCUUCAGAGGCUGCAGCUGUGUGUUCGCGCCUGAGUUUCGAAUGCUUCGAUACCCCACCAUAGCGGUGUGUUAAAAGAAUAUAAAUCAAGGUCCGCUCAUCGGCCGCUUGGCCACACCGUGUGCAGAACGCAUGAGAGUAGUAAGUGCUUACUGCCCAAGCAGGCAACUUCGACAAGGAGAUGUUGGAGUUCUCGUUGUCAAGACAAUUGUCCGUUCUAGCACAUGGGCAUACACAAUGAAGCUUCGCAUUCAAAAGCUUCAAGGAGCAUGUAGAGUCACAACCCACGGACCAUCUCUGCUUAUUAGAGAAAUUUUCAUUUGAGUAGUACAUAGCGGCUGCCAUGUACAUCUCGGCCAAAUGACGAGGGGAGAAAGAAACGGGACACCUGCCACAUCCCGUACAGAACGUGUGCCUGUGGUGAAAACUCAGGGCCCAGUAAGUGUGCAAAUCCUUUCCCGUGCACUCACACCUGAUUCCCUUCUCGAUAUCGUCCAUCCGCGCGACCAAAAAUAAUUUGGAGGGGUUCUUAAGUUCUUCAGGAAGAUCGGGAAAAUCUCCACUUGAUGAAGGUGAGUGGUGGAUUGCGCCACGAUGCUGAGCAUGCUUGGGCGUCCCCGGUUGUGAAUACUGUCGAGCUCCCAGUGAGGAUUGAGACAUAAGCGCAGAAUGCCUGUGUGGAGAGGACGAGGUUGAAGUCGGAGAAUUAGGCUUCCGAGACUCGGGAACGUCGAUGCCGUAGCACUCCAGUUCCCUCUUGAGCCUAAAAAGCUCACUUUCAGACAUUUUUGGUAGGGCUUCGAAACUGCCAUACCUCAGAAUAAGGAUCAUGUUCUGGAAUGUGCCCUCGUCACAGUCAAGGACGAUGGGGUCCGGAACGCGUUGCUUCUCGAGUAGAGACGCGAAGUAGGUAGAAUGCUUCAAAGUGUCAGCAGAGACCGUGAAUGGCACCCGGUUGCGCCCCACAUAAAAAGUUAAGUCGGACGGCCGAGGCAAGACCUCUCGCCGAUCCUUGUCACGGGAAUGGAUUCUGUCUAGCUGGACGCUGGUCUGGACGUGGUGAGAGCGAGUAAGAUGCAAGUGAUCCAUCAUUGUAGGCGCCAUAACAUCCGCAGCUUCGUCGGGGGUAGAUAUUACAUCCUUAGCGGCAGAGCGAGGUGGCAUUCUCACAAGAGGCGGAAACUGCUUCUGCGGCUGCUGCUCGUCCCGGACCAGCCGUGACUCCAGGGAAGACGGCAAAAAGAAUUCCGAUAGAUUCAUGAACGGUUGCCGUCCAAGAAAAGAGAAACGCAGACUUCAAGGCGGAUCACCUGCUCGCCUAUCUCGAUCCCAUUGAAGCCAUUUUAGACACACUCGCCAAAAUGUGCAUCCCGCAAAGGGCUCAACGUUGCGCACAGACAAUCCGAAGCGAGAAUCGCAAACGGAUUAAAGAAGAUUCAAACCCAACACUGCCAAACAACGUCUCUCAUAACCAUCUAUACUUCUCAAAAUCAAUCCUCUUUCGGGGCCUAGAGAAGCCCCAAAGAUGAAAGUAACACAAACAAACGACUCUACUCCACACAAGAACUAAACAGCAGAUAUACUCUGCAAGCUAAAACUCCAAAAAGCCUGUGAUGCCCGCACCAAACAUGUAAGAAACCCCUCAAAACCUAGCAACGGCACUCUGUUCGAGAAUGAAGGAGGAGCAGAGUUUCAUAACAAGACAAACGAACAAAACAAAAGCAAACGAACAACUAGCGCUCAAGUUACGUCGUAGAGGCUAGAACAUCCACCGUUAGCAAGACGCAGUACACCCACAAUCCGCCAAUCUGGCAAUCUACCCACGAACUCAAAAAAGAUACCUCGCCCUCACCUUCACCUAGUCUCUCUCUUUCUCUCUCUCGCAUCCAGUUUCACACAGCCCAGUAGAGCAUCGACACACACACAUACGUUCACCCACACACACACACAUACGUUCACCCACACACACACACACUCACUUUCCCAUCAAAUGACACGAGGGGCGGACGCAGCACAAGCUUUGGGCUGGGAGGCUUGCACGCGUCACCACCCGGAAGCUACGCAAAAUCCCGACACAGCCAGGCUAAAUCCCACCCCACAAGGAUCAAUCGCAGGAAACGGGAAAUCGGCGAGCUGAGUGGGGAUGAAUGAAUGAAUGGAUGGCUGGAUGGAGGGAAGGAAGGAAGGAAGGAAGGGUGGAACCCACCAAGGGAUGGCACCGUUCCCAACGCAACCCACCGUUGUCCUACCUACCUACCUACCUGUCUGCCUGCCUGCUGAUGAGGAGGAAGAGGAGCAGUAACAGCAGAAGCAGAAGCAGAUCACCACCACGUUGCCAAAGGACAAGACAAGCGGGCACAAAUGCACCCUCCCCCUGCUCAGCAACCCCAACCCCAACCCCACCCCCACCCACACGCUUUCCGACACUCCCCUCCCUCGCUCCCUCCCUCGCUUGCUUGCUCUUUAUGACGUCUGCCCUGAUUCGCCUCUCACUUGCUCGGCAUUUACUACCCCCUCCCUCUGUCCCCGCCUUCGUUCGAAUUCCUCGUCCCUCCUCCCCCCCGCUAUGGCGCACGUUGCGCGGGCAUGGCUGCAUCCACCAUUAAUGGAUGCUGCUGCUGCUGCUGCAGGGAGGGGGGUGGCAGUGGGGGUGGGGUGCUGGAAUCGCCGUAAUGGAUGCGAAAUCAUCGGGAUGUUCUACUGGCAGGCAGGGGAUAAUGGACACUCAGUCACUUAGAUUGAUUGUCCUGAAUUCUCGGCCACUCCCCGUAUUCUCCCUAAUUCCGCCUUUUCCACCCAUCUCCCUCUCUCUCUCUCAGAGACAGAUAGACAGACCGACAGAGGGUGCCCUUUUGGAUGGGUGCUUUCUGUGACACUGCGCUGAAUGCCCCUCUCCUCUUUGUUGCCAUCCCGGCCCCCCUUUCCUGUUUGUUUGUUGGUAUUGCCCCAAUACCUUCACCACCACCGUCAUCACCAUAGCCAUAGCCGGACUGGGACUCUCACUGACUCACUCCACUGACUGACUCUUCUGCACUCACUCACUCCCCUGUGUGUGAUGGAGUGAGUGCCUGUCUGUCACAGGGUCAUGUCCCCCAUUAGUUAGAUUGAUUGCAUCUAAUGUAAGUGCUCCCACAACGCUACCAUUCCUCUCUCUCUCUCGCUCUCGCUUUUCUUUACUGUCUGUUCUUACAUUACAACACUCACCUACUUCGCUAAGAUUCUCCACUUGUGUUCUUCGCCCAUCUUUGCAGUGAUCACAUCCAGUAAUAUUGUUGGACUAAUAGUCAUUGGAAUUUCACCAUGCUUUAGUAAGCCUUUGAUUUCUUUCCAUCAACGAAAAGCCAAAAAAAGUCAUAUAAUAUUACUUUAAUCAAUCUAUUCUUAGUUUUUUUCUAUAAGUUUUAUUACUAAGAAACCUAGAUAAUCAAAAUUAUCUCAUUUACAACUAAAAUAACAAGCAAAUAAACACUAAAUUUUGUCUCAAAUUGUCUUACAAUAGAAAACUACAAAAAAUGAUAUUACUGGAGGUAUGAAAGAAAAAAAACUAAAUUUUCAUCAAAUGAAAUAAUAAUAAUAAUAAUGCAAUGGAAUUUUUUUAAAAUAAUGUUUGAAUUUUUUUUGAGCCUGAAUUUUACAAUAUUGUUUUAAAAACUAUCAUCAUACAAAAGUUUCUAAAGGAAGAUAAGCAUGACACAAAUAGCCUUGGUACAGACAAGAGUCAACCACAACAUGUUUUUACCAACUAGAAAAAGUCUUUGUUUGCAAUGGAUAUAGAAUCUUAUCAAAAACUGAAGAAUGUUAUUUAAAAUAAUUAUAACAGAGACAAUACAUUUGAAUCAAUCCACAUUCUGCCCCUAGUAUUUUAUAUUUGACCAUCAACUAUUGAUUCAAGAAACACUCAUGUAAACCAAAUGAUAGAAAUAACUUGCUUUUUGUUUUUUUCUUGAAUUUUAACUUUAUAAAGAAUACACUGUUAAAAAAAUCAAUAAUAAAAUAUUUUAAACAAUAAAGAAUACUUAUUCUUGAAUUUUUAUAUAUCUAUUAAUUAGCCAAUAUGAAACAUUGAUUUAAAAUAGACACAAAAAAAUUGUAUACUUCUAAACAAAAAAAAUUAACUGAAUUGAACCAAAACAUUGAAUUUAGCAAAAAAAUAGGAAUAACUUUCAACUUCUUAUUUUUCAACUAAUGACAUGAAUAAGUUAUUAGUUGACAAGGUGAAGAAGAAAUUAACUUAAUGUUACAACACAAAGAUCAAUGCUAUUAAGAAAGAGGUAGUAGCCAAUAGUGUUCUAUUUUAAACUAUGAUCUAUUUCUUCCUUUGUUGGAUAAGAAAAAAAAAAAAGUUGUAUAGAAAAAAAAAGAAUCUGGUGGCUUUAUACACACACAUAUACAUACAUACAUAUAUAUAUAUAUAUAUAUAUAGUAAAAGAAAGAGACAUCAACUUUGUGAAUUAAAAAAUAUUGUACUAACUCUCUUACAAAAUAGAUUAUUAAGACCAUGGACAUAAACUCAUCUAUCGCUUUUUCUUGUUUUGAUGUUGGCCAAAAUAAUUUCAACCUUAUAUCGUUAUGUGUUUAAUAAGUUUAUUUAUGUUAGUACAUUGUGGCUAAUAUUUUGUAAAGCAAUUUUAUAUAAUAUUGGGACCUAAUAGAAUGACAAGUUUUUUGAGAAAUAACUCAAGUUUUCUAAUUAAUUAUUUCACAAAACCUACUUCUAGAUUAUUAAUUAUAGCUACAAUUCAUGAAACACACACACACAAAAAUAUAUAUAUAUAUAUAUAUAUAUAUAUAUAUAUAAAGAUAAAGAUAAAAUAAAAGUUUAAAAAUAAACCAAAAAGUGUGUGUGUGUGUUUUUAUUUUAUUUUAUUUUAAAUACACAACAUUAAAGCAAUAUUUUUGAAGAAUGAAUAAAAGACCAACUUUAUAGGUAUCUCUUCCAAUCCAACCACCCAACUAGAGUGUAGAAUGUCAACCCAAGAUAACAUACUUAUUGCAAUUAUUUAGAUAAUUAUUUUGCUACAUUAUUACUCUCUCUAUAAAUUGGUAGAGACUUGUAUACUACCUUCUAUUUUUAGACUACGGCCAUAUUCUUUUUGAUCAUGAAAACAAUACAGAACCAAUAUUUAAGAAUAAUAAUAAUAAUAAACAUGUCAUGGCUGUUUGCUAAUACAUUUUUUUAGCAAAAACUAAUGACCAAAUUACGUGCCUUGACUUGGUGGAGUUUUGAUCAGAUCAUCCCAACAGCUUUUACAACACACUUACUUAAAUCUUUUUUCUUUUCUUUUUCUUGUGUAUGGUAGACUUGAUAUUAUUCAAUACUCAAUCAGAUCACUUGUAGCAUGGGUGGUUUUUCUUUCCUACCUCAAUUCUUCCUCCCACUGCACUCAAAGUUGUUAUUCUAUUUAUUGUGUCAAUAUAUAUAUAUAUAUAUAUAUAUGUAUAUUUAAAAAAACUCAACACAACACAAUUCAGACACUUGCAAAAAAAAGUCUCAUGUGGUGUAGUACCAUUUGGGUUGCUUACAACUCAUUCCUUGUACAGGAUUGGCGGUGGGCAAGUUUCCAAUGCCUUAACUCCUAAACUUUUGUAGAAAUAGCAUUGUUCACACUCACUCACUCACUAUUCUGUAUGCUCACACCAUUGGCAAAUUGGCACUUGCUACUUCAGCAUGGAUUGCGCCCCAUGAAACCCAUAAUACCAAUAAUAAAAAUAAGUGAGAGCAAAGGGGAGGAGUGGAAACCUCCACACUGCCUCCUUCUCAUAGUGCCUGCAGUAUAUAUAUAUAUAUAUAUAUAUAUGUGUGUGUGUGUGUGUGUGUGUGUAUGUGUGUGUAAUGCUUUACUGUCAUGAGCUGCAACAUUACCACAAUAUAAGUAAUGUGGGCAAGCUUAUCAGAUGGUCCCCAUAUUGAGAUGGUGUUUUGUUGAAUAGUGACAUAUAGAUUUAUCUGGAGGAGGAGGAAAAUAUAUUGAUAUUCUGUUUCAUUUUUUAAUGUUUUAUUGUGGGUUUUUUUUUGUUGGUUUAUGUAUGAUUUUACAUGUGUGAUUUUCUUAUUUGUGUUGGUGUUCUUUCUCUCCUCUUUUUUUUUUUUUUUUUUUUUUUUUUUUGUGUGUUAACCCUUCAAGUUCUGUUGUCUUGUAUUCUUAGAACAUUUUUUAAAAAUUUAACUUUUUCAGGUUUUAUGUCAAUGUACUAAAUUUUGUGUUUAUAAAUGAUGUUGUGUCUGUUUAAAUUCAUGAUUAUGCUGUGUGAUCAUUUCUUUGACGAUUGAAUUCUUAAACACAUAAGGAAAAAAAAUUAAAGCAUGUGAAAUCAAAGAUAUUUAUUUCCUCUUUAUUGAUUCAUUUACAAAUAAAAAGCAUUUCAAGUGAUAGUUACCACAAUAUGUCUUAGAUACCAAGAGUUGCAUACCAAACUGCAAUUGUUCCAUUCAAUAUGUAGAAAUUAGAGUUGCAAACUUUGUUUUACUCCAUGAAAUAAAAAAUUAUAAAUUACAUUCUACAUAAUAUGUGUUACUUGUUAAAAAUACUUUAAAUAACACGAAUUGGAAAUUGACACGCUAUCUGAGUUCAGUUGUCAUCUAUUUAGAUGUAUGUAUCAUAUCUAAAUAAAUUAUCAAAAAACAAAUUGCAUUUAUAUCAAAUUAUUUAUGACAAUAAAAUUUCUAAUGAAUACUUAAUUUACUUAGUAAAUAAAACUAAAUUCCCCCUAAUAAGACUAUAUUCAAUGUUAGUAAACUUGUGAUCUACUUAAACUUCAUCUGAAUGGAGAAACAAUUAUCCUAAAAAUGUAAAAGGUAUUGGAAACAGCAUUGUAUGGUCUUUUAAAAAAGAACUGUGCCUUACAACUUAACAACCAUUUUUAAUUGAUUGUGCAUGUUAUAGAUUUUAGGAAAAUGUGAUAAAGGGAGAAUUGUUACUUUUUUUGCUCCAAAAAUUCUGUGAAAAGAUAGUUAUAAGGUUAAAUGUCAAAUAUAUUUCAAUUUCAAUACAGAUAUUUUUUGUAUAAUUAUAAGCUAGUUGUGUGAUUCAUGGCUUGAUUAGCAAUGGCUAGUACCACAAGUGAGAUAUUUUGAAUUUACUUCUGCACUAUCAUACAGAGCAUAAAAUUUAUGGUAAACAAUUCUGGGGGUCAGUAUAUAUGAUGCAUGGCAAAGUAGUUACAAUGUUGAGUGUAACUGUAUUAAUAAAUCAAUUGCAUAAAAAAUGAAUAUGUUGUCAUUAUGAAUAAAUUCUAUGAUAUUGAUAUUUUAAAAAUAAAUCCUAUGUUCAAAAUAUAUAUUUUGAACACGCGAUUACACUCUCUAUUUAACUCAAAACAGUUAUUAAUUAAUAUAAAAAAGUACGAUCUUUCAGUGAGUAUUAAAUUAAAGUUGAAAUGGAUGAAGAUAGGGUUUAGGUUUGGAUGAUUUUGGCACAUGUGGGAUUACUUUGAACAUAUUAUUAUUCUUGUAUGUGCGUGUUUAAUGCAUAUGAAUAUAUUAUUUAUGAUUUUAUUACAGUAAAUAUUCUUUUCUGAUUUUAUUCUUAAAUAAAAAUAUUUAGUUACUUUUUCAAGCAUUCAUUUUUUUGUGACAUGUGACUUUAAUUUGAACCUAUUAAUUGAUUUUUCAUAUAUGGAAAAAAGUACACUAAAUUGAUUUUUAUAAGAUAGAAUUGAAUAUUCCUAACAACAAGAAGAUGCAGCAUGUAAAUUUUUAUACUGGUACAAACUCAAUAAGAUCGAUUUUUCAACCUGAACACACAAUAUUAUAUAACAUCUUUUUUUCUCAUGUACUUGUUAAGGAAGAAACAAAAAUAGGUACAGUAAGUUUUCAUAACAUAGAUCAAUUUCAGAACAAAAUACCAGGUAAAAGUUUUAUAAAAUAUUAUGAAUAAUUUAAUCUUAGUGUCGUUUUUCAAAAAAUAGCUCUUUCAUAUAUAUAUAUAUAUAUAUAUAUUCACAUGUAUAUAAAGACACUACCUUUAGAAUUAAUAAAAUUUAGGAGAACCUGGAUUUAAUACAAAACUGCCUGCAAACUUAAAUCUAUGUCCAUGUAUGCACACAAAAAUAAGAAUAAACUUAAUUAAUCAAAUAUGUUUAUUUUGAAGACAUAUUGUAUAUAAAAUUAUUGAUCAAUGAGAGGAGGCUAUGAAUACUUACAAUUGUACAGAAGUUAUUUUGCUUUCAGAAAUAGACAAUUGUUAUUUAUGGACUUAUAAUAAUAAUAGUCGUAUUUUAAUAUUGUUUGUCAUUGGUGAAGAAAACAGUUCAGUAUGAUUAGACUUUGAACAGAUUUAUAAGUGUAAUAUUUCAACCAAAAACUCGCACUAGCUAAGAUCUUUAGAAUAAGUGGUAAAUAAAGGAUUUUCAACACAACCAAGUCUCUAGUUUGAAACUUUAUGUGGAUAAGAGGAUCAUAUUCAUCCCUAAACACUUUUAUCACACAUGUGCUUCAUUGUUUGUUUUGAAAAUAAACACAUCUCCACUUGACUCAUCGUCAUUCUUAGGAUACCUUUAUCACCUUUAAUUUACCAAAAUAAGCAAACACAUUAAAAACAAAAAUUCAAAUGUGCCCAAAUUAAAAGUGUGAAUGAACGCCUCAUUGCAAAUGUUCAUCCUCCUUGAUUCCUAGUUUGGAAUGGUUUCUUCCUAUCUAUUGGGUUACUAGAUAAGCAAAAUCGUGUCUACGAAUAUUCGAUUGAGGAGGAUCUAUUUCGUGGGCAGGCAGAAAUUACCUCUUCGACUUCGAAACCCUAAAACAUUGAUUGGGGUCGAUUCCAGUCACGAUCUAUUUUGAUUUAAAUCCAAGCGCAAACAUCGAGAUGGAGCGUUCCGCUGCCGGUUGAUUGGACGAAUUAUGAGGUGUCACAAACAGUCUUUACCAAAUCUCUUCCCAGAUCCUGCUGCAGAAGCUCCAAAUUCUGUUGCAACCUAUAACCUUACAUCGAAAAAGCUCCAUUAUGAUCACAGUGACCUGCCCUCUUGCGCGCAUUCUCCGUCCCUGCGGUGCCCGUUGCUGACAAAACUUCCGUGGAGAACAUGCGGCGCGUUCAUUUGAAGAGGCAAAAUUGAGGCCGACACCUGAAUUGAUGAUGGGCCGCUGAAGAUGUCGGUGUCGAAGCCGAUCGGGUCUAGGCACUUCGCAAAUUGCUCGCCAUGCUUUGCCGCGACCCCGAUCGUAAUAGCAUGUGCACACCCGUACGUCUGUGAGAACUUUGGAAUUUGUUGGGUCUGGAGGAUUCGAAUUCGGCUGUAAGUGGAUGCAUUCUCUCGGCCUGGUUGGAAGCCUCAGCUGCCGCUUGCUCUUCAAUUGCCUUCGCAACAGAGAGAUGAAGGUGAAUACUCUUAUCAAUCAGCCAAUUCUGCCUCCACACACUCUGAAAUCACUAGUGCUGCACCAGCUUGACAUGAGACAGCAAGUGGACACGCAUUUCCAAGGCAUCGAAAUACGAAACCUAUCAACAUUUUAAAGGAGCUCAAAACAGGUGCUCUACUGACGAUCAUUUCCUCUCACGAUCGUGAGAGGCAGGAUGAUGGCAACCACUACAGGGGAGUUGCCAUGUAAAGGGCUCCAACGCUGUUAAUCCAAUGACAGGGGCUUUUUUCGUUGAGGGCACAUCAAGACGUGGAGACGAGCUCCUCGCAAAGAGCUGCGACGCAUAUUUGCUGCUCCGCCAUAAAUGCAUUGUCGUUCCGGAGCACGGAACUAGAUUUCGACGCCAGAUAUAGACGUGAAUCGAAGCUUGCAGGGAUGCUUUCGAAGCUGAGACAGCAGCAGGGAUUGCGUGUCCAUUGCCCAGCCGCACAACGUGCGUCGCUCAUCGUGGCCAUGACUCCCUCCGCUGUGAGGAUGUGAAGCUCAAGUCUUCUGCGAGUUGGAGACGACAAGCUUCACCAUGUCCACGAUGAGGGGUUAGGGCUUUAGGGUUUCGAGUUUUUAGGUUUUGGUUUAGAAGUAUGUUGUUCUUGAGUGGUGGAUGAUUGUUUAUGGAUUUGAAUGCAUGUUUUCUUUGCUUUGUUUCUUGUUUUAUUGGAUAAGAAUAGGAUACACUUGUUGCAUUCAUUUAAUGUUUUAGAGUUUUCUUCAGAAUUUUGGAUUUUCUUAUGAAUUCUUUAGUCACUUACAAGAAAAAUGAUCUCAUUAAGUUUUUGGUUGGUAGAUUAGCAAUACCCACGUUAUCCAAAUUUUGACACCAACAAUAGUCUUGAGUUUUACAAUGACAAAUCAAAGAAGUGGUUAAGAGAAAGAUUUGUUGUAUUUAUAAAUAAAAUGAGUGUAAAACCAAGUUAUUUACAAAAAAAUUAUGAAAUGCGUUUUAAUUUUUUUGAAAAACUUAAAUCACAACAAGUAAUUUCUAAUCUUUUUGUAUGUUAUGCAAUUUGAUAUCCUAAACAUUUCAGAUGAAUCAAUUUAUGCAAGUACCAAAUUGCAGUUUUAAAUUUUUUUUUUUAUUGAUUAUCUUCUAAAUAAUAAAGUAAAAUAUUGUUGGAUAUACUAUAUUAUUAAAUGUAUUUUUAAUUAAUUAAAUUUAUUAUUAUUGUAAUGUACUCAUACUCAAACAACUUUAAAAUUUUCAAUGAUAAGAAUAUUAUAGAUAAAAGUAAUACACAAGGUAAACAAGAAAAAAUUAGAUAAAUAAUAAAUAAAAAUAUAAUAGACAUAAAUAAUAAAAAAUUAACAAAAGAAUUUUAUAUAGAUGUUUUUGUAAGAAAGAAAAAGAAUAUUAUAGAUAAACUUGUAUAAGUACUUAAGAGUAGAUGUACACUCUUAAUACAAAACUUUAAUUCGAUUUUAGAUAGAAUCAUUAACAAUAUAUGAAAUAUUAUUGUUUCCAUCUAUUAUAAAAAUUUUUUUUACACAUAUUAAAUAGUGCAACAAAUUUAUCAAAUAGAGGAAAGAUUAUACAUAAAUUCAUAGUUAAAAUUGUUACAUAUCAAAAAUAUAUAAAGCCAUAUAUUCAAAUCUUAGAAGAAAAUAAAAAAAUAGAAAAAUAAAUAAAUUAAUAAUAUCAUAUAUAAUAUUAUAAAUCAUAUUUUAUAAUAUAAUAUAAUAUAUUACAUUUUUAUAUAAAUAUAGUAUAAAUAAAUUAAUUUCUAUGUUUAUUCUAAUCCAAAUAGAAUAACAAUUUGUAAAUUAAAAAGUUUUUAAACACAUGUACAUAUUUUUACUUUUUCUAACUUAGAAUAUAAGAAAGACCCAAUUUUUAGUAGUUAACGUGAUUCCAAGGAUAAAUGCAACAUGGCCGAACUUUUCUCUUAUUAUUAUUUCAAUAAUUUUAUUAGUGAAAUAUUUGACAAUUAGAUGAAUUUUGUUUUAAAGACCACUGGCAUAGUCAAGAAUACACAUAAUCAUUACAAGUGUGCAAACCUUUAGCAUGAACUUAUGUAGUAGCAAUAUACUUACCUCUAGCAUGCUCACAUAAUUUAUUAGAACCAUCUCAAUGCCAUUAAGAUUGUUAAUCUUGUCUAUGCCCAAAACAUCUUAACUUUCUUAUGGUAUUACUUAUAAUAUUCUUUUAUUUAUCAUUACAACUUCAUUGUUGUAAAUGGCUAAAAUAUCACAUUUGCUUAAUAAUUCCUUAUCUCCUAGGUGAAUCCAUAUACUAAAGAUAUUUUAUUGGUAAAAGAACAUGCUGGGUGGACAAUGAUUAUAGUCCCCUUUAAUAGCAACAUUUAUUUAUUUAUUUUUAUUUAUUUUUAUUUUUUGUUUUUUUUUGUUUUUUUUACUAAGAAUAAAAAACCAAUUAAUAAGCAUUAUAGUCCUUAGUCUAGCGUGAGUAAUAUGUGCUUUGGCUACAAACAUAUUUUUUUCACAAAUAAAGAAUAUAAAUAUACUUUUAAAGCCAUGAUUCUUUUUAUUAAAGAUGACGUAAUCUUUGGCCUAAUUUCUCUUAGAAUCAUUGAGGCAAUUUGUUUGAAACCAUCCAAUAUUAUAAAAACUAAACCUCUAAAUGACUCAUCUUUUUUGAUUAUAUUCCAAAAACUUUGUCUAUUCCUUCAAAUGCUAUCUUGUUCAUAAUUAGAAAUUAAUUUUAAAGAAUCAAUCUUCUUUUUCAUAAAAGAUCCAUUCGAUGUGACUCUCACCAAAUAUUGCAAACAAAUGUGUUUGUUAUCACAUCUUUUUACGAAAAUAAAACAUCAAUUCUUAGAGAUGCAAGAACUAGGAAAAUUUCAUUAUUUGCAUGGACAAUUUUUUAUAAAAUAUCUUCAAAGUAAGUUCUUUUACUUUCUUUAAGGUCAAUAACAAAAAAAAAAUCUUGAAUUUUUUUAUAGUACAUGCUUCAAUUAUUACUUGAUAAGCAUUAUACUCAUUAUUAUUUAGAGAUUAGACCUCUUCUUUAACGUCUUUAUGCAAUUGAACUAUGUUGUUGUUAAGUUAUUCUUGAAUAAGCCUAUUGAUUUGCAAUAAUUCAAGAGAAAUUGAAACAAAAUUAGGUUAAAUUUUUUCAACAUUUUGUCAAAUCUUUCUAAUUCUUUGAUCAAAAGUAACAAUAAAAGACCUUUAAUUUACUCUUCAAUUGAAUUUUCAAUCCCAUGUUAAUGUAGUAUAUGUCCACAAUAAUUUAAAAGGCUUCUUAUAUAAAGGCAAUAAAGUUUACAAGAAUCCAUCUAUAAUUUAUGUAUCAAAAUUGAAAUAAAGGAGAAUAAAGUUGUGUUGCUAUUUACAUUUUUGCAACUUUAGUAUAACAUUGGUCCUACUCAUCAUCUGUGUCAUGUAAGCUAAGAGCUACACAUACAACCUUAAAUGUUUCAUAGACAUGACCAUCAAACAUUUAAAGUUCUUCAAAUAAUAUGGCUCCCAUGACUACUAUAAAGAAUAUUUAGAAGAAUAUUAUUUAUCGACUAAAAAAGUGAUAAAGUAUUAGUAACAAAACAUAGCACACAUUGAAAAUUCUUUUACGCCUAGUGCAAAUAAUCCUAUAUAAACUGCAUCAAAAAACUCCAUAGAGUACUUUUUGGGCUUCUUGAAUUAUUUUAUUUCCCUCAAAGUACUCAUUCAUUGUUUUUUUCUUAACUUCUUGAAAUUUAUAGAAACAUAUAAGCACCAUACAAAUUAAUUGAAUAUUUUGAGUCAAUACAAAUGGAUUAAGUGUAUUUUUGAAUUCAUGCAUUUUAAUAUCAUUUAAGUUAUAUUGCUUUAAAUACAAAGACAUAUCAAAUAUCAAAAUAUUUUAUAAUUUUGUCAAAAUUCUUGAGAAUAAUAGUAGUAUAGUUGCAAUUCUUUCAAAUAUAUUUAAACAAAUACUUCACAAGAAGAAUAUAAGAAUAAAUUUAUAUUAAAAAAGACAAAAAAAUGAAUAAAUAAAUAAAAAAAUAGAUCUAAAUUAUUUAAUAUUUUAUUAAAAACUUUCUCGUAAAAAAAUGGAAAAAUAAAUUUUCUUCCUCAAUCCUAUUACAUGAAAGUUGUAGACAUUUAAAGCAUUUUGAAGUUUGUAAUAAAGAUCGCUUCAUAUAUCCACCAUAAAUUAUUGGAAGAAGUAGCCAACUUAAAGAACCAAUGUUUCAUAUGCAUAAAUCUAAAGUAUGUAAUUGUAGAAUUGUAGUUGAGUUAAUUGCUUAGAAGUGCCUUCACUUGCUACAUCAUCUUAGUUCUUAGCUAUAAAUAUGCUUCAAUUCAUUUGAGAUUCGUUUGAAGGUAUUUCUAGAUUUCAUUUGCCUUGCGUCUUAAAGAAUAAAACAUAUAAUAAAGAAGUAAAUAAGGUAGGUGCAACAUAAAAAUAUUAUAGAGAUCUCCAUCAAUACUUUUGAUAAUAAUAUCUAAUUUUUUGCAACUUUUUUAAUUACCAUCUUCUACUAUAAUUAUAUAAAUUUUAUUUAUAAUUGAUACAUUAUAUAGCAAAGCAUUGUCAUGUUCUAAUAUAACUAUUGGAUAAAAGAGAUGAAAGUAUUAUAUUAUAGAAGAUUAUAUUUCAAACUAUAAUAAAAAUUAAUUUAAAAAUAUAGAUAAUAAUUAAGGAGGUAGUAAAAUUAAUAAGUGAUAAUGUUUCUUUUUAAGAAAAAAAAUGCUUUUACUUACUUUGUAGUGCCAUAAAUAAGAAAAAGUAAAAUUGAUUAGCAAAAUCAAUAUUAUGGCAUCUUGAACUAAAAUUAAAUAAUAGCUUUUAGCAUAAAUUAUCUUUAAAAAUUAGAUAUUAUUUCUUAAAAAAAUUAAUUAUAAAUAUAGAUUGAAAUGAGAUCCAAAUGUACAAAACCUCGCACCUAUGGCAAUUGUAAAGAUUUUUUGUUUAUUAAAGAGUAGAAAUUGAGAGUAGAAUAAAAUUAUUUUUUUUAGUAUUAUUUUUGGAUAAUUUAGGUUUGUAAUGAAUUCAUAAAGACUUUGCAAAGUGAGGAUUAUUUAAGAAUGAAUUUACUAUUGAAAAAUACAAAAAAAAUUAUAUCUUAGAUAAUUUUGUAAAAUUUAUAAUAAAUCUAUAAAACAUAAUUUGUAGAUUUGUAAAUAUAAUUGUAUUAAGUAUAUAAUCAAAAUUUGAGCUUUAUUAUAAUGUAAACUUAAAUAUAAUUGAAAUCCAAGUGGAAUGGCAUUUAUUAUCAUUUUGAGGUACAAAUACAAUAUUGUCAUUUUGCCAAAGAAUUAGGAGACAAAUACUAAGCUUCUAUGUAGAUCCAUUUAAGUUCUAAUCAACAUCACUCAAAAAUUGCACAUGCAGAUUAUAAGUAUGUAACAUAUUUUGUAAAGCAUCCGUCAUUUUACAUACUAAGUUAGCAAAGUUUUGAUAAUUAAGUGGAAUAUUUUAAUAACUAAGUUUUGUGUUAUUGUGUUGUUGUUCGGCUACCAUAUAAAAAUAAUGUAUUUAUAUACUUAAUAUACAAUAUACUAAAUAACAUAGUGAGAGCCAUGUUAGUAGAUUUUUGUAGAUAUAGGAUGUAGAUAAAUAAGUUUAGGUUUUUGGCUCUGAUUUUGGUGCAAAUUUUGUGUGAUUUGGAGUUUAUAUGAAAGAGAUAUGAGCACUUAAAGUUAAGGUGUUGAUUAUGUACCUACUGUCACUCUUUUAGAUAUAACGCAUGCGUACAUAAAACAAUAAAAGAUUGGCAACUACAGUUGAAGAGAGAAUUUUUUUGGCUAUACUUUUGGCAUAUUAUUUGAUGGAUUCCAAGUUGAAAUGAAGGAGAUAUUGGAAGUUGAAGUCAAUGCUUUAAAUCUAAGGGUAGUAAGUGAUUUGAUUUACUAGUGGUUAUAUUUUGAGCUAAAUCUUGAGCAAUUUGACAAUAUUUUAGCUCAAAAUUUUCUAGAUUAUGUGUAAUCAUGUUAAUAAACUUUAUGCAUAAAUUUUUUGGCAUUUGAAUUUUAGAUUUUUGAGAUAUGAGGAAAAUAGUUUUCUGGUGCUUGUAGAUUAAGAUUUAGAGUACUUACUAGGAUUUCUAAGAUGCCAAAAGAUUGAUAAUAGAUUUAAAAUUCAUUUUUUUAAUGGUAAAGUUCAAGGAUAGAAUCUAUAUUAUACAAGAAUUUGAGAAAAAUUGGAUAGUUGGAUCAAGAGAUAUGAAUUUCUAAAAUUCAAGGUAAAAAUAUCUUUUAUGGGAAGAAAAUAUUUUGAAUGGUUUUAUUAUAAUUUGAACAUUUUUGCAAAAUAAAGGAGUUUUUGGGAGAUAAGGCAUCAUAUAUUAGCCAAAGAUAAACUCUUUAUAGCCAAAUAUCUAGUAUAUUCUCAGAUUACAAAUCACAUCAUAUGACAACAUAUUUUUAUAGAUUCUAAUAAUAUUAAUUAAGUAGUUAUUAUUUUCUUAUUGUUCAUCUUAACUUAAAAAUUGAGAAUAUAUAAUAUAAAAACUUAACAUCCUAAGUCACUUCUAAAAAAACCUACCAAAUUCCUAAUAAAUCCUAAUAAAUUCUAAUAAAAUCUUGAUCAAAUCCUAAUCAAUCUUAAUUAAAUUUUAUAGUAUUUUUUAAACCUUAUUAAUUAUUAAUUAAAUAUCUGAUAUCGCUUUAAAAUUUUCAAACAUUUUAAUAUUCUAAUAAUCAAUAAGAACACAAAAUUAUUAUAAAAUUUAAUACAUAGAUUGAAAUAAAAAAAUUCCUAAUCCAUUUGGAUGUCAGCUAUCAUCUUUUUCUAAACUCCAUGUCAAUCUAUCAAUAAGAAUAGUUGUCAAAAAAAAAUUCAAAGAAUACAAAAAAUAAGCUAGCUAAAUUUCAAAAAAAUAUGUGGGACUUUUUUCAAAGAAAUAUGACAAAAUAAAAAUAAGAAACUAUGUAUAUUCAAAAGAAACUAGAAUGGCUAUUACCAAAAGACAAGAAAACUAGAGAUCUUUGAAAUUAGACUAGAAGCAAGAAAAGAAUUAACAAGAAUAAGAAAGGCUUUACUUUUGUCUCCAUAUAUACUAUCUAACUAAGAAAUAUUUGUCAAUAUUCUAUAUGACCUCCAAUACAUGUUUAAUUUUUUAGACACCUUCCUUCACUUAUAAGACAAGUUUUUUGUAUAUGGGCUAUAUGAUUAGCUUGUACAAUAAGCUAUCAACAUUUAUAAUAUAUAGCUAGCUCAUUGAUUAAGUAUUCAACCUAUCACCUUUAAAUACAUAUAAAGGUGAAACUCCAUCUAUGAAGUUUUUAAGAAGCUUUUUUAUAAGAUAUUAUCAAAUUAUUCUAUUUUUAUUUAUUUUUAGCUAUUCAUAUUAUUUAAAUAAUUAUAAGAAUAUAUAUAUAUAUAUAUAUAUAUAUAUAUAUAUAAUUGUGAUAUUUUCUUCAUUUCUAAAGACGAGUUUUAUUAGAAAUGGACAUUACAUAUUGAUAAAGUCCAAAAUAUAAUAAAUUAUAUUUGUCACAUACUCUAAUCUAUAUUUCCUUUGAAGGUAGUUGUUAGGUCUUUUAGCUAUUAAUAAUAACUUACUUUUGAGUAGAAAGACCACUAUGAUAUUUAAUCUUUGUUAAAGCCUGUGUAAUUUUUUUAAAAAAAAAUAUUUGUAACAAUAUUAAGAUUUAGUCCUACUUCAAAUAUAAUUAUCAAACAUUGGAAGUCUCUUUCUAGAUUGUGAUAUCAAAUGCAUUGUAUCUUGCCAUGUAUAUAGAAAAAAUAUAUUCUUCUUAAAGAUUUUUUUUUUUUUUUUUUUUUUUUUUUUUUUUUUAAUAAUAUGCCAACUUAAAGGUUGUGACAAUUGUAAUGUCUUGUCUANNNNNNNNNNNNNNNNNNNNNNNNNNNNNNNNNNNNNNNNNNNNNNNNNNNNNNNNNNNNNNNNNNNNNNNNNNNNNNNNNNNNNNNNNNNNNNNNNNNNAAAAAAUUGAAUGCAAUCUUCAUUGAUCAUCAUUUUUUUUAUAGCAAAGAUUAGUUAACUUUUCAUCUUAAUUUUGAAGAAUGUUGUUGAUAAAAAUCUUUGACCUUUUCUAUUACAUUUGUAAGUAUCUUUGGUAGAUCCCAUGUACAUUCAUUAAUAACAUAUUUGUACCAAUAAAUAAAAUAUUUAAACUUAAGUAAGCAUUAUUUUGACUCUGAGACUUCUUCUACCUCAAAUUCUUGAUUAUUAUCUAGUUAUAUAGGAGACACAAGGAUUUUUCUUCUCUUUAAAAUAUUCACUCUCUUACAUGGAUGUCAAUAAUAUGAAUCUUAAAAAAUUAAAAGUUCAAAAUAUUCUUCUGUCACUCAAAAAGGCUAAAUAAUCACUUAAAGAUAAUAUAAUAUUAAAUUAAAAUAGCUAUUAUCAAAGAUAAGAAAACUAAAAAUUCUUGAAAUAAGACUAAAGACUAUAUAAGUGUUGGAAAUAGUGAAGAAGGCUUCACUCUUGUCUCUAUAUAUACUCUUUAAUUAGAAGCUAUGUGGCAAUAUUCUAUAGGACCUCCAAGACAUGGUGACUUUUGUAUUAUACAUGUCUUAACUUGUAAGAAAAAUUAUCUAUAUAUGUGCCACAUAAUUAGCUUAUUCUAUAAACUAUUAAUACAUAUAAGACAUAGCUAACUUAUUGACUAAAUUUUUAGCCUAUCAAUCAGCUAGAAAUAUAUGUAAAAUAAAAAUAAUGUUGUCGUAAUACAUAAAGUCUUGCUUGAGAAUGCUUUGAACACCUGGUGGUGGAAGGUAGAAUGGAAAUUGUAAUAACAAAAUCCUAACUCUAAUAUAAUACUAACUAAAUUCUAAUUAAACUAUAACAAUGCUAAGCAAGCUUUAAUCAAAUUCAAAGAAACCUCAAAAGAAUUACAAAGAAACAAUAAGAAAUUUAAAAAAAAUAUUAAAAUGAUUACAAAUAUAUCUCAAAUACAUCUUAAUUCAAUCUUAAUUUAAUCCUAGUUAAAAUCCUAUUGGACUUCAUUCAAACUUUAGGCCAAAAACUAACUAAAUCUUAAAUCCUAAACAAACUCAAAUAAAACCCUAAAUCCUAAAUCAAAUCCUAAAUCCUAGCCAAAUCCUAAAUCCUAAAUCCUAAAUCAAAUCUUAACCAAUUAAAAAUCAAAUUCUAACCAAAUCCUAACCCUAAAUCAAAUCCUAAUCAAAUCCUAAUCCUAAAUCAAAUCCUAAUCCUAAAUCAAACCAUAAUCAAAUCCUAAAUCAAACCUUAGUAAUUUCUGCAACAGAUUUAUAUCUCAGUUACUAAUGAAUAAAUUAUUGAUCUUAAUUCAAAAUUUGCAUGCUUUUUAAUAAUUAAGUUUAAAAUAAGCACAAAAAAAUUUGAAAAGUAUUGGAAUUAUCAUAUAGACGAUAGCCUCAAAAACAUGCUUGGAUAUUGGCCGACCUGAGCUAAUAUCUCUUUUUUCGACAUCUUUUUUUCCUGAGCUAAUAUCUCUUUUUUCAUCGUUUGAUUGAUCUCAAAAUUUUUAAAUACAUAGAAAAAUAAGUCUAAUAUCCUCUUACAUAAAUUUCACUCCAAUCCAACUAAUAAAUUGCAAAAAAUCUUUAAAACCCUCACUAAACCUAAAAUUCUACUUUUUGAGACCUUGACCCACUUAAACCUCAAUAAUCCUCAAUUCAAUUAUUAGAUCGAGCUAAGAUUCACAAUACAUAUUAAGCACAAUUACAAACAUUAAUUCACAAAAUUUCACUUAUAGAUCUAUUACAAAACUCUUGAAAUCAUUAGAAAUGUCAAUCCUAUUAUAUUUCACAAAAUCUAAGUCAUCCAAAAACAAUCUUGAUUUGUAAAGCUCUUACAAAGUCAUAACAACUUCAAAUUUCCCAAAACUAAUGCUUAUAGAAACCUUAUUCAACUUUCUCUCAAAUUCCACUCUCUGAUUUGCAAAAGAACCCAAGAGUCAUUGUUGAGACUCAGUUUUGUGCCUCAGCCUCUAAUUUCGACCUUGGUUCAUAACCGGUACUUUCUGGGUAUCAAUAUCUAGUUUUUCUAAAUAAAUUUUACUAUAAUUUAUUCUUAACUUCCUUUUAAAGAUACCUAUAUUAUUUAUUUUUCUAAUCUACUUUGUUUUGCCUUAUUUAUGGUCUUACAAAGUAAGUAGAAGUCACCUUUCUAAAAUGGCAGCAUGGGUAUCUUUGAGGUUUAUUAUCCUUUUGACUAUUAACUAUAUUUCUAAGAUAAUUGGCUCUAAUACUUUAUACUAAGAUAUCCUACAUUAUAAUAAUUUCUACACUCUUUCACUUAUUAAUCGUGUUACAUCAUGACAGCAUCUAUAAAGCUUCUAAGAAGCUUUUUUAGAAGAUAUUAUAAAAAUAAUAUAGUUUUAUUUACUUCUACUUAAUCAUAUACGUAAUUAUUGAAAUAAAUAUAUAUUUUUGUAAUAUUAUUCUUCAUAUUAGAGACAAUUAUCACAAAAAAAAAAAUUCAUCUAACAUCAAUCUUACAAUUCUUUAUCUUAGUUUUAAUGGAUGUCAUCAAUGAAAAGCCUCAACUUUCUUUGCUACAUUUGUAAGAUUCUUUACUGGCUUCUAUGUGCAUUUGUUAAUUUCACAUCCAUACUAAUGAAUAAGUUAUUUCAACCUAUUUUGGCGAUGUCUUGAAUUUAUGACUUCUUCUAUCUUAAACUCUUAAUUAUUAUCUACUUCUAUAAGAAGAAGUGGCAAUUGUCUUCACCCUGAGAUAUUCACUAUCUUAUAUGGCUCAAGAAGAGACAUAUGGAAUUUAAGAUGGAUUUUCAUAGAUUUUGGUGGAUAUAAUUAAUAAGCAAUAAGAUUUACUUGAUUAUAAAUAAAUAAAAAAGAUCCAAACUUAUAAUAUUUGAAUUUGUCACAAAUAUGAAUAGUCUUGAUAUUGCGAUGAAGUGAUUAUACCUUGUCACCUAUUUUGAAUUGCGGUUAUUUAUUGCAAUAGGCAUCUGCAUUGAUCUUUUAUAGUUCUUGAAUUUCUUUUAAUUGUAACUUUAUUGUUGUAUGUAACUUUGAUCAAUGAUUUGCCAAAUCUUCUACUAUAAGAUUAUCAUCUUUUGAAAAGUCAAAAUUAUGAAGUUGUAGAUGAUAACCAUAAUCGGAAAAAAAAGAUGUUUAUUGAAUAGAAGAAUGUAUCAAAUUUUUAUAUACAAACUAUACCAAUGGCAAAAAAAUUAUCCAAUCAUCUAAAUGAUAGUUGAUAAUACACCUCUAAUACUGCUUCAGAACUUGAUUCACCUAUUUCAUUUGCUUAUCAAUUUAAGGAUGAAAGGCCAAAGAUAAUUUUAUAUCCACCUUCAAUAUUUUAAAGAUUUUUUUAAAAAUAUUAAUAUAAAUUAUAUCUCUCUAUUUCAUAUAAUAUUUUUUGACAAUUCAUGAUAGUAUUAGAUAUUAUGAAGAAAAAGCUUAGCUAUUUCUUCAUCUAAAAUAAAUUUUGUAUAUGAUGCAAAAUAUGUUAUUUUGGAAAAAUAAUCUAUGAUCACAAAUAGAGAUGUAUGAACUUUAAUUUGAAAGAUCCAUAAUAAAAUUUAUAAAAAAAGAGACCAUGAUAAUUUUGAUAUAGACAAUAGUUGGCAAAAUUCAUAGGAUCAAUGAUGAGAAGUUUAUGACCUUGAAUAAAUGUCACAUAAAUAUACAAAUUCUUUCACUACCUUUCACAUUUACAGCCACCAAAAAUGUCUUGAUAUUAGCUCCUAAGUCUUGUAUCCAAAAUGCCUUGUUAAUAGAAAGUUGUGAUAUACUUGAAGAAUAUGUAUAUAUAUAUAUAUAUAUAUAUAUAUAUAUAUUUUUGGAAUAUAUAAGUAACCUUUGCAUUAGACUAGAUUAUUUAUAAACUUAAACUAAGAAGUAUCUUGAGACUUAGAAGAAAUAUUCUUGAUGUCAUGAUUAAAAGAAUUAAAGGAAAUUCUUGAUUGAAUUUGCUUGACAAAAAUUGAAUCAAUAGUCAAUGUUGAUUUUAUUGUUUAAAGAUAAAAUUACUUAGGCUUCAUGAAGAUUGAUCUUUAUUGAUCAAAAGUUGUAUUUUUUUUUUUUUUUGAAGUAAGAUAAAAACGUCUAAAAAGUACAUUUGAUAAACCUUAUUUUUUUUUAAUUCAAUACAUGAUAUCAAAAUCAAAUCUUAACAAUGACAUAUUCUAAUAAGCAUGGUGACAAUUGAACACGUCCAUUGAUAUGAAGUACUCAAGGUUCUUAUGAACUAUAUAUACCAUGUUAGUAUUGAAAAUAUCUUCUAGAUAAUGAUGCCAUUCUUAAAAAGAAUCCAUAAUUAUAAAAAUUUAAUUAUUGUAAAUUUCAUAAUUGAUCUCUAUUGUUGAAAAUUUCUUAGAAUAAAAAGCUAUUAGAUGGAGUUUAUUAUUUACUUCUAUUUUUUAAAAAAUAACAUCCAUAGCAAAAUUUAAUGCAUCUGUUUCUAUAAAAAAUGCCUAAAAAAAAUCAAUACAAUAUAAGAUUGGUGCAAAAAUAAAUGAUGUCUUCAAAGCUUCAAAAGAUUCUUCAAUAUCUUUGCUUCACUUAAGUUUGUCUUUAUAUAUUAGAUGUGUAAGAGGAGCCACAACUUCAAAAAAAAUCUUCAUGAAGAUACGAUAAUAAUUGACAAAUUCUAGAAAAAACAUUGUACAUCUGAUUGUUUUUGAAAUCUUUUAAUCUAUGAUAAUUUAAACUUUCUUAGAAUCCAUCAUAAAACCAUCGUUUGAAAUGAUAUAUCAUAAGAAAUCAACUUGAAUAGAAUGAAAUACAUACUUAUCAAUUUUGACAUAUAAUCUUAUAUCUCUUAAUUUUUAUAACACAAGUCAAAUAUGAACUUCAUGUUCUUUUAUAUUUUUAGAAUAAAUUAAGAUAUUUUCUAAAUGAUAGAUGGAAAAAUUAUCAAGAAACUCAAAAAAGAUAUUAUUCAUUAGAUGUUGAAAAGUAGCUAAUGUAUUUGUGAGUCUAGAAGGCAUAACAUUAUAUUCAAAAUGCUCAUACUUGGUUUCAUAUGCAAUUUUUCAUUCAUCUCUUUUUUUUAAUGUGUAUCAAGUUGUAUGCUUUUUUUAGAUCUAUUUUUGUAUAGAUCUUUACUUAAUUCAAGCAAAAAUAGAGGAUAUCUAUUCUUGCUAGUGAUCUUGUUGAAUUUUUGAUAGUCUCCAUACAUCCACAAAAAUCUGGUUCUUUUUUCUUCACAAAUAAGAUAAGAGCUCCAAUUGUAGUUUUAAAAUUGCAUAUGAAGUUCUUAGCCUAAUUUUCAUCAAUAUAUUCUUUGAGUGCAUCCAACUUGUUGAUAGGCUAUAGAUUGGUUUAAAUGGUGGUUGAGCUCUUUCUUAAAAAUUAAUGGAACAUAAUAGGAAUGAUGCUUUAGAAGAAUAUCUAUGUUUUAUUUAUUUAUUUUUUUUUUAAAUUGUCUUGAUAAUCUUGAUAUUGGCUUAGAAUGCUAAUUGAUUUUUUUUUUCCAUCAACAAUAGGUAUAGAGUAUAUAGUAAAAGUUGACCCUUCUUUUACAGCAUGUAAAAAAAUUCUUGCAUCUAUCAAUAAUAAUUUGGAUAUAUUGAUCUUAAAAAAUUUUACUUUCCUCGCAAAAUCUUGGACUAAACUAUAGAAAAAAUUAAGGUUAUUAGAAAUUCAACCUAUUCUAGGAUUAUAUUUUUUUAGCCAUAAUGAUCUUAAAAUAAUUAGAUUAGAGAGAAAUCUAAUCAUAUUAUAUAUUACUAAACUAUUAUGACCACUAGUUGCUACUUCUAAAUUUUAUGUCUAAAAACUCUAGAAGACAACAAACGACCAUCUAUUACUUUUGCAUCUAAAAUUUUGAUAUUCUUAAUUAAAGAUAUAUCUUAUUUUUUGACAAAUUCUUUAUCUAUAAAAUAAAAAGGCUCUUGAAUCUAACAAGGUUAAGACUUUGUGAUUUUUUGGUUUUAAAAAAAUCUUCUACUAUAAAGCAAAGCAAGGAAUUUAAAGAGAGAAAAUUCCAGCCAUAUAAUUCAUAUAUGAUUGCUGGAAAAUUUUAUUUUUCAAUACAUUGACUUCUUUGAUAACCAUGCUCCUCAUUUUGUGAUUAUGUUGUUUUUUUGGACAAUGGUAAGUAGUGUACAUGGAUUCUCUACAACAUAGGCACAAACCUUCUUAAUGACUACAAGGAUUUUCUUGCUUAGUAAGAAGUUUAAAACAUACCAUAUUAAUUUACAUAGGCUUUGGCUUGGACAAGUAAAAUUUUUAAAAUUUAAAAGGUAAUACCAUAGCUUGAGUUAUAUUCUUCCAAUCAUAUCUUUAUUUUUAGCAUCUUUUCAAGAAUUGAUUGUUGCAUGCAAUGGCUUGAGUAAUAAAUUACUUUAAUGAAUUUUUUCUUAAUAUUGUCAAUGUUAAAUCUUUGAUAUUAACUUUCAAGUUAUAUUGAAGUUGAUUGAUAAGGUCUUUCUAUUCCAAUCUAAGUCUCAAGCAAGAUUUUAGAAUUUUGCAACAUGUUUAGUGGUUGAACAUGAUUUUAAUUGUAGAAAUAUAAGCUUAGUCUCUAUUUUUUUCUUAUCAUUUUUUUCCAAAUAUAGCUAUAAAUAAUUUCAAAAAUAAAUUUAAAUUAUAAAAUAAUUGUGAAUCUUUUUCUAUCAAAGGUAUAAACUAAAAAAAAAAAAAAAAAAAAAAAUUAGACAAAAAAAGCUCUUAUGAAUUUGAUUUGAAUAAAUCCAUUAAGAUAUUGAGAAAGAUGAAAAAUUUAAUAGAGCAUCAUUAGUUAUAUAAAUCCUCAAAAUUUUGAUCUUGUUCCAUCAUACUUCUCUAGCAUACUUAUACUUGCCUCUUUUAUACUUGUAGUAGCAAGAUCCCUUGGAUUUAGUUAUAAAUUUGAUCAUCUUGCUUCUUUUAAUUGAACAACUUUUUGGUAUAGACUUUGAAUUUCAUUGCUGAUUUCUUCUAUAGACAUAGGAAUAGUACCUCCAUUAUUUACAUUAGAAAUAUAUAAUAUUUCUAUCCUAAGAGUACUGGUAAGCUUUUAAAGAUUUGCAAUAGUUACAAAUCUAUUCUUAUUUUUUUCAAGAGUAGCAUCCAUAAUUUAUUUUUUUUAUAGAUAAUUCAAAAAAAAUUAUAAAAUUAAAUUUAAAGAAAAUAAUUCACAACAUCUAAUAUCAAAUGAUUUUUUUUAUAAAAAGAAGUAAUCUUCUUUCUUAAAAGAUCAAAUACAUGUUAGAAAAUUAAACUAUUUAUUUAAAGGUGUGUAGUCUAUAACUUUCAAAAUACAACAAUAGAAGUAAGGUGAUCUAUUGACUUUUAAAAUAAAAAAAGAAUAAUAAGUUAGCACUCUUGUCAAAUUAUCAGGGAUAUAAAUCUUAAAAACUUAAAAGAUUAAGAUAUUCUUAUGUAAUUAAAAAUGAUUAGAUAAUUAGUUAAAGAUAAUAUAAUAUAAAAUUAGAAUUGUUAUUGUUAAAGACAAGGAGUUUAGAAAGCCUUGAAACAAAAUUAAGGACUAAAAAAGCAUUGAAAAGAAUGAAGAAGGCUUUACUCUUGCCUUCAUAUAUACUUUCUAAUUAAGAACUAUGUGGCGAUAUUCUAUAGAAUCUCUAAUACAUGUUGACUUUGCUAGACACAUGUUUUAACUUACAAUUUAAGUUAUCCAUAUGUACACCACCUAGUUAGCUUUCUUUACAAGUUACUAAUAUGUGUGAUACAUUUUUGUGGUAGAGAAAAUUUGCUUUAAGAAAGCGCUAGGCUUUUGGCUAUUACUAAAUACUCAAUCAAGCCUCUAGAUAAAAAAAUCACUAAGUCUAUAUAUAAAAUUAUUUCUAUAGGAAAAAUUACAUCAAUACAUAAGCCUUAAGUAUCAAAGAUCACCAAAAAAGUGAUAAAAAUAUUAUAAAAAACUUAUAUAUCCUUAAGAUGAAUUAUUCUCAAAUUUGAACUACUUAUAUCUUAGGAUAGGACUGUCCAAACAAAUCCAAAUUUUAUAUGAAGUACUAAUGUACUUUUAACAACUACCACAACAAAUUUUAACUAUAAAUUUAUUACGAAUCUUAAGAUAUUGCCAAAACUCUAAUAGUAGUUUCAAACCCUUGCUUACAUAUAUCCAUAUGCAAAUUUCUUCAUAUUUUACAAAAUAAGUAUUUAAAUACUAUAAAAUUUUGAUAUAUAGCUUUUUAAUUCAAUAAUACACAAUUCUAGAAAUUUUUAGCUAAAAAUUCAUCUGGAAACCUAAGAUAUGGCUCCAACUAUUACUAUCAACAAAAUGACUCACUUACUGCCUUUGAAUUACAGGUAUUGUCUUCAAUGCUCUAUAACUUUUUCAUACAAAUUCCAAAUGAAAAAAUUCCUUCACAAAAGAAGUAGAUCUUGAAAUAACUCUUAUGAUUGCACCUCCCAAUUUCCAAAAUUUAUCAUAAAACUCCUUGUAUCUUCAAAAUAGUAAUAAUAUAUCUUAAAAAGAUAUCUUAAUUUCAAACAAUUAUAACCUCAUCACCCUAAUUCCAAAUCCUUUAAAAUUUUCACAAAAAUUGUAAUCUAAAUCCUAAAACUUAUAAUCCUUGCUUUUGAUUCUCAAAUGCUCCUUUUGAAGUUACCAAAAUCCUUGUUGUGGUUGUAGACAACUUGCUGAAUGUCCAUAGGAUAUAGCUUUUGACCAAUAGGCAUAAAGAUCUUUACCUUUUGCCUUCAUCCAACCAUGCCUUGAUUUCAUCGCUCUCCAUAAGCCUUGUGGUAGUUUAGAUUUUCAUCCUUAGGCUUCCACCUUCUCUUAAAGCUCUAUACUAAACAUCUAAAUCUUAUAUAAUUUAAAUAUUAUAAUAUAAAUAGCUAAAAUUCAAAAUAAAGUUUUUUAUAUCCACUCUCUUUAAAAUAAUUUAUUAACCAUUCUAACAUACAUCAAGACUUAUGAACAUAAAAUAUAUUUUAACUAAUUUUUAUAUACUAUAAGUAUUUAUAGUAUGACGACGUGGCUAAUUUAUUGACUAAGUUUUUAGCCUAUCAAUUUACUACAAAUACAUGUAAAGUCAAAAUAGUGAAUAUAAAACUUUUAGAAAGCUUUUGUAAAAGAUAUUAUAAAAUCAAUCUACUUUUACUUGCUUCUUUUUAAUUAUAUAGGUAAUUAUUGGAAUAAAUAUAUAUGUUUGUAAUAAUGAUUUAAGAAAAGAUACAUGAAAUAAGGAUGGAUUUUCAUAAACUUUGGUUGAUGUAAUUGAUAAAUAUAAGGAUUAAUAUGUUCAUAUAUAGGAAAUGGUCUUAGUUUAUGAUAAUACAACUUAUUACAAGAAUGAAUAGUCUUAACAUUACAAUAAAGUAACCAUAUCUUAUGGCUAAUGUGAAAUUGAGGUUGUUUCUUGCAAUCAGCACCUCCAUUGAUUUUUUGUCAUUCUUGAGCUUCUUUUAGUUGUGCCUUUAUUGUUAUAUGUAGCUCAAAUAAAUAAUUUUUUAAAAUCAUUCAUUAUAAGAUUAUCAACUUUUAAAAAGUCAAAAGUAUCAAAUUAUAGAUGAUAACCAUAAUUAGGAAAGAAACGUGUUUAUUGAAUAAAAAAAUAUAUUAUGUUAUUAUAAGCAUAUUUUUUUAAUGGAAAAAGAAUUGUUUAAUCACUUUAUUGAUAGUUGAUGGUAUACCUCAAAUAUUACCCAAAACUUAAUUUAUGCACUCUAUUUGUCUAUUAAUUUGAGGAUAGAAAGCCAAAGAUAGUUUUAUAUCUAUCUUUAUAAUUUUAAAAAUAAUACUUCAAAACUUUGAUACAAAUUGUGUCCUUUUAUUUAAUAAAAUAUCUUUGAACAAUCCAUAAUAGCAAUAGAUGUUGUCAAGAAAGAACUUGGUUGUUUCUUCAUCCGUAAUAGAGUUUGUAUAUGGUACAAAAUGUGUCAUCUUGGUGAAAUGAUCCAUUAUCACAAAGAUAGAGUCAUAAGAACUUGAGAUUGGAAGAUCUAUGAUAAAAUCUAUAGAUACAAAAAAUCAUUGUUGUUUUGGAUUAGGUAAUAUUUGAAAAAGUCUAUAAAAUCAAUGACCAAGAGUUUUUGAUUUUGAAAAAAUAUCACAUAAUUAUACAAAUAUUUUGAUUGAUUUUCACAUUUAAAGCCACUACAAAUCUCUAGAUAUUAAUUCUAAAAUCUUGUUGUAUUCAGAUUAUGUUAUUAGUGAGAAUUUGUAAUAAGUUUGAAGAAUAUAUGAUUAAAAUUCAUCUUCUAAAUCAUAUAAGUACAUCUAAAAAUAGAAUAGAUUAUUCUUUAAUUCAAAUUUUAAAGUAACAUAAGAUUUUGAAGAAUUUUCUUUAAUAUCAUGAACAAAAGGAUCAAAAGAUAUACUUUGUGAGUCAUCAAAUUAACUCACUAGUUAUUUUUGAGACAAAAAUAUGCAUGUGGAGGGCCAAAAUUACAAUUUUUAGAUAAAGAUGUACUUAGAGGAUGUUAAAUGAAGAAAAAUAGUAUUAAUACAGAAGAAAUAGAGUCAUAGUAAGUCUUAGAGGCAAUUAUUUUAGCUGAUUUAGGAUUUUUAUUUAUUGCUGAGUAGUGAGGAUUAGUUACUAAGGUCAAUAUUUAUAUUGGUCUUCUAUCUAUACAUAUUACUUAUAAAAAAAAAUAUAAAUAUUAUUUAGUAGUUAAAAAAAUCAUGAAAAAGAAGCUCAUGUCUUUUUAAUUAGUUAUAUAGGAAGGAAGAUUUAUAAUAGAUUUAAAUUGAUUUAAUUACUAUAAAAAUAAUCAAGAUAAGAAAAAAUAGAUUUAAAUUUUUAUUAGUAUUAUAAAACAAUUAUAGGAAUUUUAUAAUUUAUUUAGAAUCUAUUUAGUAUUUUUUAGGAAUUUUUAGAAUAAUUUUGAAGAUUUUGAUAAAAAUAAGUUUUAUCACUUCGGAAGCCAUUAUGAAGAAAUGGAGCAAGAUUUGAAAGCCAUUCAAGAUUCUUGGGCUAAUAGGAUGUUUUUAAAGACCAUGGUGAAGUCGAAAAUGUAAUAAAAAUGAGUUUUAUUAGUAGAAAAUAGGAGGGCCAACAGCUAGUCUAGUCCUUAUAAGAAGGAAAGUAUACAAAUCAUAUAUGGAUUGUAGCACCUUGGGUAUAGGUAGGAAGAUAAAACUAAGGUCUUAAGGCUUCUUUAUAAAACCAAUAUAUACUACUUGUGAGCCUUGGUGAGGCCCAAACUCCUAAUCUCUUAAAGUAAGUUACCCUUGAAGUAAAAUUAUUUACUUAACUUUUCAUUCAUUUACUUGUUAUUUUUCAAAUUUGCAUAACAUACUCAUAAUAACUCGGAUUUAUAUGUUUCUUACACUAUUAGAAAAAAAAAAUUUAAUUUUUUUUAAAAUAUAUUUUUUACUUUUAUUUUUAUUUUUUAUGGGAUAAAAAUUUAAUGAAUAGACUGUGACUGGUUUUGAGGUGUAUAAUUCCUUGAUUGCAUUUAUUCCACUUAUUUUGUAUUUUUCUUCUUUUAUCCUUGUUCCUGCUACUUUUACUUCACACCACCCAUUACAAGCAACUCUUAAUUAAGGUCAUUUUGUAAUUGGAUUACGAAGUGAAUUUUACACUCACAUACUUCACUGAACUUAUUUACAAAAAGUUGAAUUAAUAAUUAGUAUUGAUUAAAUUUCUCAUAUAUAAAAUUACUAUAGUUUCAAGAAAAUAAUUUGUUAUUAGGCAAAAGUUCCAUUGCUCAUUUUGGUGUAAGAUAAGAUCAUUUUGAAAUAGCAUUUGAUAAACCUUGAUAAUUUUUUUAAUUGAUAAGUGAUCUUAAAUUUGAAUCUUUAUAAGAAUAUAUUCUAAUAAGAUUGGCAAAGAAUCAAAACAUGUACUAUCCUAAAAUACUUGAGAUUCUUCUAAUUAAUGUACUUGUUAAGUAGAUUAGAAUCACCUUUUAAAUAAUAAUGCUAUUCUUGAAAUAAAUCGACAAUUGUAAGAAAUUCUUUAUUAUAAAAAUAUAGUUAAUUUCAAAUAUUGAAAAUUUUCUUGAAUAAAAAGCUAUUGAAUGAAAUUUAUCAUUUGCUUCUAUUUAUAAUAAUUUCACAUCCAAAACAAAGUCUUAUGUAUUUUUUUUUAUAAAAAAAUACCUUGAAAAGUUAAUACAAUAUAAGAUUGGUGCAAAAAUAAAUACUAUCUUUAAAGCUUCAAAUAUUAGUUUUACUUCUUUAUUCCAUUCAAAUUUUUGUUUAUAAGUCAAAUAUACAAAUAGAGUUGUAACUUAAAAAAAACUUUUUCAUAAAGAUAUAAUAAUAAUUGGAAAUUUUCAAAAAAACAUCACACAUUAUUUAUUAUUCUUAGAAUGUUGAAAUCCAUAGUAGUCUUAACCUUCUUAAGAUCCAUCAUAAGGCUAUUAUUGAAAAUGAUGUAUCUGAAGAAGUUAACUUAAAUAGUAUGAAAUAAACACUUUUCUAUCUUGAUGUAUAAUCUUGCAUCUCUAAGUUUUUGUAAUACAUGACGAACAAGCAGUUCAUGUUUUUUUAUGCUCUUAAAGUAGAUUAAAAUUUGAUCUAAAUAAUAGAUAACAAAAUCAUCCAAAAACUCUUAAAAGACAUCAUUCAUUAAAUGUUAAAAAUUAGUUGGUACAUUCAUGAGUCCAAAAAGCAUGAUAUUAUAUUCAAAAUGUCUAUAUCUUCUUUAAAAUGCAAUCUUCUAUGUCUCUCCUUCUUUGAUGUGUACCAAAUUAUAUACUCUUCAUAGAUCUAUUUUGAUAUAGACCUUAGCUUGAUUAAAUUGGUAAAGAAAUCUUAAUAUCAAGGAUAAAUGGUAUCAAUUCUUCAUGGUAAACUUAUUAAGCCCUUGAUAUUCUACAUAUAUUUACAAGGAUCUAUCUUUUUUAUUCAUAAAUAAAAUUAGGGCUCUUGUUGAAGAUUUUGAAUGGUGUAUGAAAUUAUUGGCUAGAUUUUCUUCAAGAUAUUCUUUGAAUUCAAUCCACUCAUUUUGUAUUAAAUUGUAGAUUGGUCCAAAUAAUGAUUGAGCUCUCUCCAAAAGAUUAAUUAAACAAUCAUAUGGAUGAUUUUCUAAAAAAUAUCUACAUUCUUCUUUUUAAAAAUAUCUUGAUAAUCUUGAUAUUGACUUAAAAUUUCAUUUGAAGUCUUUCUACCAUUAGAAACAAGAGUGGCAUAAAUAAUAUAACAUGAUCUUUUUUUUGUAGUAUCUAAGAAAGUUCUUACUUUUUAAAUAUGAUUUGGUUAUACUAGAUUUAUGACUUUCUACUUGAUUAAAAAUAGUCUUUGUUAUACUAUUAAAAAAGUCAAGACUACAAAAAUUCCAAUCUAUUUAGAAGUUAUAUUUUUUUAAUCAUGAUUAAUCUAAAAUAACUAGAUCAAAGGAAUAUCUAAUAAUAUUAAUUAUUACAAAGCUAUUGUGACUAUUAAUUUUUAUUUUUAUUAGAAGGAUUUUUUGAAUAAUAUCUCUAAUGAGAAAUAAAUAAUCAUCUAUUACUUCUACAUAAAUAAGUUUAGUUUUGUUCACUGAAUGUAUGCUAUGUCUUUUAACAAAUUUUUUUAUCUAAGAAAGAAAUUGAAGCUCUUGAAUCUUACAAGAGAAAAACCUUAUAAUGUUUAAGUUUUAAACUAACUUCUAUUAUAUAUUAAUAAGAAGGUUCUAAAAAAAUAUAUGAUCUUUAUUACCUAUUAUAUAAGGUUCCAACCACACGGUCCCUAUUAUAGCUAGAUAAACUUAUUUUUUGACAUACUGUCUUUUUUGAUAGCCAUAUUCUUCAUUUUGUGAUUACUUUAUUUUUUUUAGAUAAUAUUAAGUAGUAAGCUUAGGUUCUUGACAAUACAAGUAUAAUCAUUUUUGUUAAUGAUAAGUCUUUUCUUGCUUAGUAAGAUAUUUAAAAUGUAUUACAUCAAUUUGUAUAUUUUCUAUUUUCAAAAGUAUGUGUUAAAAAGACAUUAGUAUUGCCAUUGAAUUAUAAAAAUAUUGAGAUCAAUUUUUGUGACUCCUAUAUCCAAAUUCAAAAAAUUAGAUAUUACAUUUUAUAGAACAAUCAGUUAUUUGACUCAAUGUUUGAAAAUUAAUUAAAUUUAGCAUUAGUUUCUUUACCUUACAUACGUAUGAUAUAUGGCCAAUACAUAUGAUAUAUGGCUAACUUGUUGGCUAAGUAUUCAAUCCACUAAUCUGUCAUGGACAUGCAUACUUACUUCAAUAAGAAGUUUUAAAUAAAAGAUAAAUGUAUGUAGAUUUCAUAUUAUCUUAUAGCAAAGCUUUUUAAAAGCUUCAUAGAUGCAUAUUUGACUUUAUACAUGUUUGUAGUUGAUUGAUAGGUUAGAAACUUAAUCAACAAGUUAGACAUGUAUUGCAUGUGCUAAUAGCUUAUAGAAUAAACUAACUACAUGAUGUAUAUAUAAGAAACUUGUCUUCUAAGUUAGACAUGUAUCAAGGGUCUUAUAGAAUGUGGCUACAUAGUUUUUAGUUAGAUAGUAUGUAUGGAAGCAAGAAUGAAGUCUUCUUCACUAUUUUCAAUACUUUUUUAGUCUUUAGUCUUAUUUUAAGACUUUCGAGUCUUCUUAUCUUUGGCAAUAGCUAUUUUAAUUUAAUAUCAUAUCUUUGAAUGAUUAUCUAGUCUUUUUGAAUAACAUAAGAGUAUAUUGAUCUUUUAAUUCUUUGAAAUUCAUGUCCCUAUCACAAUCACCUUUAGACAUGUACAAAUAUGAAACUACAUCUAUAAAGUUUCUAAGAAGCUUCUCUACAAGAUAGUAUCAAAUUAAUCUAUUUUUAUCUACUUCUAUCUAUUCAAAUUAUCUAAAUGAUUAUUAGAGUAAACAUAUAUGUCCGUGGCAAUAGCUCCUUUUCUCAUUGUUCUUUUACAUUGAAGAUUUUCAAAAAUGUUGCAAAAUAAAUUUAUUAUUAAUUUACACAAAUUUAUAUCAAUUUUUGAUUUUCUAUGAUUUUAAAAAAAAUAAUUAUAAUAUAAAUCUUAUUAUAUUUCAAAAAUUUCCAAAUCACCUUAAAUAAUCUUAAUUUUGUAAAGUUCUUAUAAAUUUAAUAUCCACACAAAUUACUUAAAGCCAAUGUUCAAAGAAACUUUAUGAAAGUUUCUUCUUAAUCUUCCUCUUCAAUCAACCAAAGAACUUUGCAAUUCUUAUAGGUAUCUAGUUUUGGAUCUUAAGGUUUAGUUUUGGCCUUGAUUUACAACUAAUCCUCUUUAUAUAUCAAUGUCUAGCUUUUUAAAAACGAUUUACUGAGAACUAUUUUUUAUUUUUAUCUAAAAAUUCUUAUAAUAUUAUUUUUUUCUACUCCAUUUUAUUUUAUCUUUUUUAUGCUCUUAUAAUAAGUAAGAAUAUUUUUUUACAAAAAAAACAACAUUAAUACCAAAUAUUUUAACAACUUGUCUAUCUUUUAGCUUUAUUUUUUUAAAGUAAUUUUCUACUUUAUUUGUCAAUUAAAAUUGUUUUAAAAAAUCCAUAUUUUUAUCUUUUAUGUAGUAAUUGUAUUACAAUACAACAUGAUUUUUUAACCAGCCAAUUCAAAUAUUCUUUGUAUUUUUUAUUGUUAAAGAAUUUUUUAAAAAAAAACUUUUUGAUAAGUUUGUCUUUAAAGGUUAUAGAUGAUGAUAAAUCGAAUAAAUUAUAUCAUUAAUAUUUUUUUAAAGUCCAAUUUUUUUUACAAUCCUAGCAAAUUUUAUUUCAAUCUAAAUAUUCAAAGCACAAUUGUAUAUGUCUAUUAUUAAUGAGAUAGUUUAAGAUGUAUAAUAAUAUAAGUUAAUUAUGAAUAAUAUAUAUAUAUAUCAAUUUGAUUUGAUUUGAUUUAUUUCAAUGAUAUUUCAAGUGAAGUAAAUAGAGUAUUUAUAAUUUCUUCAAGAAUCAAUAAUAAAAUGCUAAUAGAAAUCUUUGAAACAACUUUUUAGUAUAUAAACCUAGAUCAAUUUUUAUUGAUUGUUUCAAAAGAAGAAUUGUUGACAAAUAUAACAUUAUUAAAUAAUACAUUUAUAGAAUCUAAUAAAUACAUAAUUAUUUUAUAUAUAGAUAAUUUAUAAAUAAUUUUUAUAUUUAAAAGAAUUAAUUUAUCUAUUUAUUUUGUAUGCAAAUUGUCAUAUACGAAUUUUUUCUCUUCCAAUGAUAUUAUUUAUAAAAAUAAAAUAUUAUAAACUAAUAGAAAUCUAAUCCAUUUAAAUCAAAUAUUAAAAAAUAAUACUAUUUAGAUUAGAGUUAGAAUGAUAAUAUAUAACAUAGAUUAUGUGGCUAAAGUAAUUUACAUACACAUUUAAAUAUUAUAAAUGAAGAGAAAUUCUUUUAAAAUUAGACUCUAUGGCUUGUAGAGCCAAAUUAGUUGGAUUAGUGUCAAAUUUCAAAUAUGGAGACCAAACAAUGAAGGUGCAUGAAGUUGUGGUGAUAGUUGUAUCUUCUUGAAUGUAGGAUCUCUUUAAAAAAAAUUAACAUAGUUGUAUCUUUUUGAAUUUAGAAGCAACAAACUUUAGUGGACUGCAAUGAAAGUGAGUUACAAUAACAUGACCAUUCUUUUUAUGUGUGGAAUAGCUUCAAUCUCAUUGGAUCUAGUUUCUAUGAUAUGUUUAUGCAUUGUGAAAGGGCAUAUGUUUUUAGUGAUUUUGACAUAAUUUUUAGUUAUUCUAUUGGACAAGAAUUUUAUUAUAUUGUAGAUAAUUAGAAUUGAAUGACUUGAUUAGUGAAACCUCCUUAUUAGUUAAGAUGAAAAUAUUAUUUUAUUAGCCAAAAACAUAUGUUGCCCUUUUACAAUGUAAAAAUUUAUGUUUCAUUUUCACACGUGUCCUUUUUCAUUGCAUGCUACCUUAUUUUGUGUUAAAUUGAUUUUCACAAUAUUACCCCUUUCACAAUGUAAAAAUGUAUGCAGUCCUUUCACAUAUAUUACCUUAUUUUGUGUUAAAAUAUUUUUCAUGCCCAAUAACAUAGGUUUUUUCUAGAAUAUAUAUAUUACAACUGAUUGGAGUGACUCAAAGAUAAAAUAAAAUGAAAUAACACUAUGCUCAAUAUAACUAUUUACAUAAGGAUUUAUCCCCUAUUAACAAUAAAUAUUACUAUAUCAAAUGCAGGAGUUGGAUAUGUAGUUCUAUGGUAUCAGAAGUAUUAAUAUAAUUUAUUCAUUUAUAUUUUAAAAUAGAUUGAAUCACUUAAAAAUUCAGUCUUUGAUACAUUAUGAUUAUUGAGAUGCCCUCAUAUCCACAGUUUGUUAAUUUUCAAUGUUUUGAGAAAAUUAGGGCUCUCGCAUCAAUCCAGGAUCUGUGAAGGCCAAGCCAGGUCAUACCGACUUUCUUGCACAAAUUGAUUUUAGUUGACGCCACAGGCUAAAACAACUCGGAAAUAAUUUAAGGUAAUGGGUCCUACCGUCAAAGGUCAUUGUGGUGGUUCACUCCUUAAUUCAAGGGACUCUGUCAGUGCCAUGCAGGAUGCAGAAAACGUGCAAAUGAUGCAACAACAUGCAUGAAUAAAUUUCACUCAUGGCCACUUUCUCUCCAACAAACAAUAUUCUCUUACCCAUUUCCCUGCCCCGAUGCCGACUAACAUCAGGCAGCUUGGGGUGUACCAUCAAAAUACAUACCAUCCACAUUUGAUAAACCGGAUGAUAUUUACUCAGCUGUGCAGGCAUUGACAAACCAACAAUCACGUCUUGCUGUGAUGCAAUGUCAAACGUCACGUACGAUUAACCAAGUACCAAAAAGUAGAAUGCAUUAAAGUCAAGGUUCUGAGGGCCAAUAAAAAAAACACAAUGCAAUUUAAUUAUGAAACAGAGGCAUCCCAAUAUCUGCCAAAACGAGUGAUCAAACUAGUAUAUGUGCAUGUCAGAAAAUAAAGCAGAAGGAGCUUGAGCACCAUCUCUGUCUAUUGGCACACAACACACUACCAUCAUCAAGUUGAAUGUGCAUGGCUAGGUCCAAAAAUGAAAUUGCCGUGCACAUACUGACAUUUUCGUCAAGCUUGUAUUUACACUCCUCAUAGGACCCCUCAAGGCCACCCCUAAUCUGCCUAAGACAACAGUAACCCCAGCAGCCGCACUGUCGUCACCACGAUCUGGCUUAGAAAUCGAUGUGAAUCAAUUCAGUCUACAUCCUCUAAAAAUACCGAGCGCACUGAAAUGACUGCACAAUCAGAUGGCUUGUUCACAGGGACUUCAUGAUCCCGGCUCCCUAAUAGUUCGAAUUGUUCCAUGACUGUUGCGCACGUUGAGGUUGCUGCUGGUAGGCUCCUGCUUGGCUGUUGCCCCCUGCGCCUCCCAUUCCUUGGGGCUGUUGAAGCAUCUGAUGGCUUGGGGCCGGCCCUGUCUGUGACGGAUGAUACAAGUUGGUAUAUGCCGCGUUUGGAUGCGCAUGCCCGUGCGUCGGUUGCUGAGAAUGCGCGUAUCCACUGUGCUGGCCUUGCCCGGCCAAACUGUAGUACAAGCUCGUCUGCAUGGCCGCUGACGGUCCAAUAUCGCGGGGCAUCGCGGCCUGAAUCCAUACUGUCGAGCUAUCUCCCUGCUGCCAAAAAACGUCCACACUGUUAAUACACCCAACUAACGCCAACCAAAACCAUCGAACCCUCUCUACAAAUGCACGCGGCACAAAAUGCUUGGGACUAUCAACUGACUAACACCAUUCCAUCACGUCCACCCUCAGUACGCAUUCUCACAACUCUGAAGAUAUAUCGCCAUACCUGUUGGCUCGGAAUGUAGAGAGUGCUAUCCUUAUAACGCGAUGUGUUCAUGUCCUCGUAUCCAGAAGCAUUUCCGACUGUCACCGCAGGACUUGACGCAUAUCCUGAAGGCGUUGUCGUGUACCCGCCGUAUCCUACGGCUGGUGCAGGAUGGGGAGCGUUUCCGGCAGCUGCCCCGGGCUUGUACUGGGGCAUCGGAAACUUCACAGCAGUCGCUCCGCCAGCUGGAUAAGACGAUGCCGCAGAUGGAGGAGUGUACGUCGAGCCAGCCGGAGGCUGAGCAUAAGCUGUGCUGCUCGAGUUGUAAACGUGGUGCGGAUAUGGGGGCUGCAAAUACGGGUAACUUGCGGGCAUAUAUUGAUAACUCACGUAGUUCCCAAAGGGUCCCGAAGGUGGCUGUGAAUAAUGCAUCGGCAAAGCUUGCUGCGGCACCACUUGUGCAGGCUGCACGUUACUUCCCGGUUGAGAAGUCUGCGAAGAACUCACGCUCGGUGUGGCAGAAGCUAGCAUCGGAUUUCCUCCCUGCACAAAUCCCCUCGUCAUCAAAUCAUGAAUGUCUCCCAAAACAAAAAUUAUCAACAGUAAAGAAAUCGAUAGUAAAAAUACAACCUCACACUUCUCGAUCCAAUCUAGCAAACACGAGUUCUCACCUCCUGGGAUGCUUGAAGAGAUGGAGCCGCCAUCAAACCAAUAUUCCCAGAAUACUUGCUCGCUGUGUUCGUUGGAACAUAGGGAGGAUAAAGCCGAUCGGAUUCUGCCCCACGGAACGCUGAAGUAUAGUAGCUCGUCGUCGGGUCGUACGCCGGCUGAGAAGAAUCACAGAUGCGGACAACGCAAGCUAAUCAGGCUACUCACCAUGUAUAUCAACAGAUAAAAAAAAAAAAAAAAAAAAAAAAAAUACACUCAAAAUACGCUGGGAAGCAUUCUCGGCGUAUCAACGAUCCAAGCAGACAACACGAGUCACAAACAACAAGCACACACAACUGCAUCCACACUCAACCUCCAUAAUCGAGAGAGAGAACGGAGAGAGAAACGCUAGAAACUAAACAUGACGCGUAGAGCCCAAGUGCUUUACACGUACCACCAUGCUUGGAAUCCGAGGUGCAUCCUGAGGUGCCGACUCCGUUUGCUCGUAACCAUACUGACCGCCAGGCAUUUGUGGCAUCAACCCAAACCCAGGAUAGUUUGACGCCCCAAAAAAAUACGGCGCCGACUGCACCACUGGAUCAGGUUUCGUGUGCUGCUCCUGGGCUGGAACGGCCGGGUCUUGCUGAACUACAGGUGGUGCCUCCACGCUCGCGUCAAUGCUCUCCACCGGAGUAGCUACCUGCUGCAGCCCAUAUGACUGGGCCAUCUCCACUUGGGUAUCCACACUGAAACCCACCCAUAUUCAAACUUUACCUCGAAUGCACAUCAUACAAGCCUUCUCAUCUUAGCACCACUCGUUGCCUCCUACCAAGCACUCCGUCCUAUCCUACAACCAGUGCUCAACGAACAACGCACUCAACCCUGGGACAAACCCCAUUUCUAAGAAAAUUUCACGAGCUCACCUUGAAGGAGCCGGCAACUCGACCGGAGCCUCUUCCACAGCAAUAGUCUCCACGUUCUUCUUGUUCUCUUCAACUUCUGCAUGACCAAAGCUCGUCCCGAAAGCUGACACAAAAUCUGAACCAAAGCUACCGAAGCUCAAAUGCGAACGGUCUGCUUCCGGCACUCGAAGGUGCGUCGGAAUUAUCACCGGCUCGUCUUCUUGUAUGCUCAUAGACUGAUAUGCUUGAGCUAUGCUCGUCGGGUCCACAGCACCUAGACCUUGAGAACCACCGUCCGCUGACGAUCCUAACAAGUUGUGCCCAGGAGCUUUCGCCUUCCACUCCAAGCCGCCGGCACCUGCAGCUGCACGAUAGCGAAAAACACCUGUCAGAUCAUCACAUCCAUCCAAUGAACAUUCAUGCAUCUAGAGCAACACUCCGACUACCCCAACGCCCCGAGUUCCACGCAAAUAACGCAUAUCAUACGACGCAUCCUACCUUUCUGAGUGCCCACGGGCUGCUGUGGGGACCCAUACAAAGGUCGCCCGUUAAAUUGGCUACCACCCAGUACGCUCAUUGACCCGUGUCCUUGCGAGUUGCCUGCCUCCAUGCUCACGGCAGCUUCAUCCACACUUACAUCUCGACUAGACGGUGCAGACGCCGUCGCAGCAGGAGGAGAAGGCGGUCUUGCUGUCUCUAAUUCCCUCUCCAUGUCUGUCUCCAGAUCGCCAGAGCCUUCGGAUUCUGGGACAGAGCUCGCUUGAGCCGAUGGGGACGCCGCACUUGAAUCGAUUGCCGCCUCUGCAUUUGAUGAACUUACAGGCCGAUCUCCAAUAGGACGCUGGUUGCCCACCGCACCGAUGGCACUUUGACCGCCCACAACUCGCAAAUCUACCGAUGUAUGAAGCACCGGGUCCGCACUCGACGAAUAAAAUCCCGAGGACUCCGGAGAAGGCUCAGAAGCUGCUACUGGGGCUACGGCAGCCGGAUAUGAUGGAGACAACGCCGUUUGAACGACCGGCACGGCUGGGGAAGUUGCCGGAGAUUGGAAGCUCGAGGGAGGUGGAGGAGGAGCUGCCCGCGCUUUCAAUAGAUCUGCCAUUGUGCCAUGCCCUGAGGCCCAUGCCCCUUGUGGGGGUCGUGCGGGUCUCACAAACCCGCUGCUUCCAUUAACUGCUCCUCCGGAGCUACUGCUAGCUGGACUUGGAGCUUGAACUGGUGCUGCUGCUGCUGCUGCUGCUGCUGUUUGAGCGCCUGUUGAUGGUGGUACAGAGCUGCAAUUCACAAUCAACAUCAAACAAUCAGGAAUUCAUUAUCUGAAACUAGUAACUCCAUAUCCAACAUACCAAGAAACCACCACUUUUCAACUCCAUAAUCUGCUGUAUCUACGCCCCUCACAGCCAAAACUCAAGCGAACCAAAACAAAACAAUCCAGAGGCAUCUCAGGUAGAAUUUCCACCACAUAUUACAUCAAAAUCUCAUCACACGACUGAAUUCAUUAAUAUGUACACACGGAGCUCUCAGAAUCUGCAUGCUAAGAGGUCAUCACAGUUUUCAUGAUUCAAUUUGAUUUUAUCGUAUCUCGUACGUACCUCGGGGCCGACGGCUUUGCUUGACAGGGUGCAGUAGUUGAAUUUGAAGCUGCGCUAGAACCACGCAAACCAGGAUGAAUGCCAUUCUCUCUUCCGUGCGCUCGACCUCGCCCACCACCAUACUCUGAACAACCAAACUCGCCACAUAAAUCAUUACACCCUUCCAAGAACCCACCUUGCCACGCCCACAGCCGUUCUUCUUAUGAUGCUUGAGUAUUACACCACUUCCUCUAAUUGCAUACAGCAAGUAGCUGCCUCGCUCAGUUGCCAAACACUACUUUCAUGUCAACAUUAAGGGCUUGUACGCGACCGAAGGUGCUUGGGUUAUAUCGACGGGAGAACCUUAAGCUUUAUCAUUCCACUCAUCAUUACCGUAAAACUCACAUCAAUCUCAGCUGAAGCGCUUGAGGAAGUAGAUCGACAUCACAAACUUCGCAAAUCAUCUGAUAUGCUGCUACUCUUCCUCACUAUAUAUCAUGCUCAUUUACAAUACAUUCAGCACAAGCCUUGACUUGAACACUAGGCAUGUCCAUUGGCACUCACCCUGUGAACCCUGAGAACCGUAACGAGGCAGAGAACCCCCGGUUCCACCACCGCCACGUCCACCUCCUCUGAUAUAACCACCGCUACCAGGCCGUCCCCUCAUAUCCGAAUCUCUCGCUUUCAUUCCUCCAGUCUGCCGUAUCAUGGUGCUCACGGAUGUUAAAUACAAUACAGCGCGGUCAGUUCUCCCUCAACUCUUUCGCAGCUUGUCUAUCUACGACUCGGUAAGGAAAUCAAGUUCCACAUUUUCUUACCUCUUUCUUCUUGUCCCGCUUCCUCUUCACUUCGUGAAACGGAUCUGCAUCGUCAAACCCACCAUUAGCACCUCAAAUCAAUCCCGCUAGCCCCACCUGCCCAAACCUACCACAUUGGCGAAAUCCAUGACCCACGAACGCAGUGACGUCAGAAUCGCAGUUAAAUACACAUGUAGCACAGCAGCAGUGCAAAGGGAAAGGUACGGCUCCUAUACCUCCUGCAAAAUACACCCAACCAUAUAAAAACACAUUAAUAACUCGACCCACACAAAAAUUACACUCAUCAAGAUAUUAGCUGCACAACUCUAAGACGCAACUACUGCGAUGCCAACAAAUCUUCGAAUCCAAUCUAUAUAAAAUGUAGAGCGAUUAUAGAAAGACACGGUCAUUCUAGCACAGUAUGAAACUAAAAGCCAUUCUGACCAUACCAAAAGUCACUUUCUACACUUUGUUAAUGCUUCAGCCGAUACGGAUAAGACAACGGGACAGAAUUCUCUUACACAUUUCGGACCUCAAGAGAAGUGUAGGUUGAAUACUUCUACACCAUGCGAACAUAUUGCGAAAUGACGACGUGGUUUGACCCACCAUACAUAAAAUCGAACUCGCUAACAUGAACCGAACGCUCGUACCCAACACAACCCGGACUAGAGCAGCACGUCAUUGCAUCAAUCAUGACCAAAGAGCCCGCUUCAUCCCGCAGUGCAAUUUCAUCAUUUGGAACAGCAGGAGGUCUAUAGCACAGGCUUCACCAUUUCGGUGGCAAACAUGGCGUGCCUUGCACGGAGAUCUAACCCCAUAGAACUAACCACCUAAUCACGACACCGUCGCACAAACCUCUGCUCAAAACUCCAGACUCAUUGAACAUAACUUGCGCAGCACUAGGUCCCAUCCACGACACAAGAACGAUCGAGCCAUAAAAGCCCGAGCACAAACGCACGCGUACCUUGGUUCAGCAGCCGUUGCGCGGCCUCGUUCGGGUCCAUGUUGCACUCUUUGAGCAUGGCAUAAAUCUCCUCUUCGCUGUUGCCGACCACCUCCUUGAGGUCCUGCACCACUUUCUUAGUGCUGGCCGGGAUGUCGACGGCACCGCCGCCGCCCCUGCCGGUACUCAUCUUGGUGGACAGCGCAGCCCCCCUGCAGCUCCACCCCGGGCCGACUCCGCCUGUUGCCUUGCUCCUCCUCCGAUGACCGCCCUCCGUCCCAAUGCUCCCACACGUUGCCGUAUGAUUGAAAUGAUACUAGUUUAGCAAACCUUAGGGUUUCAAGCACAAGCUAUGGCUUUGAAAGGGGGACAGGGAGUAGAGACAGGGGCAAGCAGGCAACACCGUAGUAGGACCGAGCUAAGAUGGAGCACAGCGAACAACAACACGUGAAUGCUGGUGACGAUGGGAAAGAGUCGGAGAUGGCUGGAAAGGCGGGAGACUUGGGCCCCAAACCCUAAUUCCAUCGUCCCGUUCACACUCCGUUUGAAUCUCUGCGGAAAUUUUAAGUUAACCAGGCCCUGCGUCAGUUUGAUCUGUUUUGAAUUUUCAAUUUCGUCAGGAUGAUCAUCCUGCCCUUUUGUGGAUAGCUCCUCGUUUUCCGUCGACGACUCUGUCCGUCAUGGUGCUCUUUUGGAUGAUAUUCGUCGUCCAGGGUCCCCCCCUUUCUGGGAACUUGGAUUGAGUGCAUUCCCUUUGGUUCCCAACGUUGUGCUGCACCUUUGUUAAUACAAAGUCGGCCUCGGAAUUCCACCACCCAUUUACUUGCUUAAUACUCCUACUCCCCCUUCACCUCCCUACUACCACAUUUCUCAAUUAUUAUUGUAAACCUUAACUUCUGUGUUUUUCUGGAUUUUUUUCUUCUUUUUUGAUGUUUGAUUGUGGGUAGUGGGUUGUGUCGAUGUGUAUUCAUUUGAACACUUUUGGGAACCAUCUAAAUUUGCAUCUCUACUUCCAAAGCAUUUUUCUUUUUUUAGAAUGCAAAUAUGAUUUUUUGCAGUCAAUGACAGAUACGAAUACCUGAAUUCUAAAGUAGCACAAUAAAAUUUCUGAUAUAUACAUACAUACAUCCAUACAUAUACCAAAACAUGGUGGGUCAUUCACAUUUGACAAAUGAAAUACUAUGCUGAAAAUCAAUAUAUGACUGAAUGUUUAUAUAUAUAUAUAUAUAUAUAUAUGAGAAUACUCUCACGUUUAUUUACUAAAAUUGAGCAUCUUUUUACAAGUUUAAUGUCACAUAGGAACUAGUAUGUUCUUUUACAAAAAUGCAUUUUAAUAUCUAAUACUUAGCUAAAUUGUUGUAUGACAAGCAUUAAUAUUUACUAUAAAUUGAAAUUGAUAUGCAAAGAAAUUCAUAUUUAAAUUAUAUAUUAAAAAAUUCAAUAUAUAUAUAUAUAUAUAUAUAUACAGAGAGAGAGAGAGAGAGAGAGAGAGAGAGAGAAGAAAUCAUUAAGUGUUGUACCUAAAGCAAGACCUUGAAACUCUGAACCAAGUUAAACACAUCUGUUUUUUCCUAUCUGGCUUCAAGUAAUUUUGCCAAAGAUUAUGGUAAUGAAAAAUCACAUAAUAAUAAAUGAAUAAAUAAAUGAUUGUUAAAUUUUUAGCUCUUUUGAUUUAAAUUUUUAUCAUGUUUCAUGUAAGAAAAUUUAAUUAAAUCAUUGUUUUAUUAAUUAACUGGCAAUGAAACAAAUGUUAAACCUUUGACUUGAUCUACUGAAUAUAUGGAGGAGGCUAACCUCUACUCUAGUACAAUUUCACAAAUCUGGACUACAUAGACUCAAUUGUAAAGUAAGACAUGUUAUUAUUUUUUUAAAUACAUAUUUGAGAAAUUAAUAUUAAUUGGUUUACGAUGAUUAUUUUUUAGAGACAAUUACUACAUGCCAUGCCAAAUACAUCAUAUGUAUUUUAAAUUUAGUUUUCUGUGUUAUAUUACUUAAAAAAAUAUGUAAAUUUAUUAUCUUUUAUUGUAAGAAAAUUGAAGUCAAAUAAAAUAUAAACUUUCACUAUUUUAAGAAUUUGUUUGCCAAAAACCUAAACAAAGUGAACAGCAUCAUUUUGCAGAUGUGGCCAUUUUUUACAGUACAUCUUAUCAUGCCGCAAUUAAAAAUAAUAAUUUUUAGCACUUCUGUGUUAAUAACAAUUUGACAUUCUAUUCUUACUAUGUUCAAUAUCUUCUAAUCAACAAUUGGAGUAAUAAUAAAAUUCCAAAGCAAUAAUCAAGGUAAAAUUUAGGUUAAGAAUGACACUAUUAUUUUUUAAAAUAUUGAUGUCUUGUACAUAACAAUUGUAGGUGAUUUGUUGGUGAAUAAAUGCAAUAAUCUAUUUAAUUCAUACAUAGAUAUGUAUCAAUAUAUAUAUAUAUAUAUAUAUAUAUAGAUCAAAAUUUAAUAUUUAUUUCUAAACAUAAGAAGUAUUAUGUAUAAAACACAUCUAAUCUAAAGGACUUUGUACAACUAUUUUUUAAUAUAUUUUUAUGUAUUAGAAUAUUUUGUUUUAUAAAAAAUUCUUUUAUAAUAAUUUCAACUAUAUCAAAUUCAAAAUAAAAAAAUAGUCAUGCCUAAGUUAUAUCCAGCUCUAUUGAAAGCAUUUCUAAACCUUUAAAGUACAUAUAAGAGCUUGCAAGCAAAAAAUUUUUCACUCAUAUUUUUCUUAUUCAAUUAAAAUUUUGUCUAAAAAAUUAUAUAAGUAAAUAAAUAUAUAUAUAUAUAUGUAUACCUAUAUAUAUGCAUGAAAUUAUUAUUGAAUUAUAUUACAAAAUAUCACUAACAAGAAAUUAUAAACUUAAUCGACCCUUAAUUUUUUUUGAAUAUUUAUAAUUAUUAGCAAUCCAAAGUUUUAUUAUUUUUAUUAUUAUAUUAAUAUUUUUUUACCAUAAAAUAUAUAAAAAGUCAAAUUCCUAUAUGUUAUUAUAUUAUAUAUAUAUAAUCAUAGAUAACAAAGAAGAAGAAAAAACAAUGUCUACAUUACUUCUUCUUUUUUGUUAAAUUAGGUUCUACAUACUUUGUGACCUAUAAACAAGAAAAAAUAAUUUAGAGUAGCAAAAACAUUAUAAUAAAAAUUCAUAAAUUAAAGUAAAGAAUAGUUUUCAAUAAAAAAUACUUAAAAAAACUUAGAUUGUUAUAUUAAUAAGACUAAUUAUAAACCAUGGUCAAAAUUAGAAACCAAGCCACAAAUCCAUAAAUAUCUAUGAUAAAUAUUUAAUUAUUUGUUCAAUUAGAGAGUGGAAUUAAAAAAAAAAAAAAAAAAACUUAAUAAGAAUUUUAUAAAUGAUGAUUUUAAGAUGUUUAGGUUGUCAUGACUAUAUAAGAACUUGUCAUAAAUAUAUGUAUUUAUUCCAAUAAUUACUUAUAUGAUUAGGUAGAUGUAGAUAAAUAUUUAUUAAUUUCAUAAUGUCUUCUUGAAUAGCUUCUUAGAAUCUUCAUAGACGUAGUUUUGACUUUAUAUACGUUUGUAAUUGAUUGGUAGGUUAGAAACUUUGUCAACAAAUUAAUCAUGUGCCACAUGUGUUGUUAGCUUGUAGAACAAGCUUACAAUGUAGUAAAUACAUAAAUAACUUGCCUUAUAAGUUAAGACAUGUGGCUAACAAAGUCAACACAUGUAAGAGGUCUUAUAGAAUAUUACUAUGUAGCUCCUAAUUAGAAUAUAUAUAUGAAAGCAAGAGUGAAGCCUUCUUCAUUCUUCUCAAUGCAUUUCUACUCUUUAGUCUUAUUUUAAGACUUUCUAGUUUUCUUGUCUUUAGCAAUAGUCAUUUUAGUUUAAUACUAUAUCAUCUUUAAAUAGCUUUCUAGUUCUUUUGAGUGACACAAGAAUGUAUUAAAGAUUUCUUUUUUUAAGCUUUAUAUUCUUAAUAAUUUAACAAGAGUGUUAACUUAUUAUUUUUGUCUUGUUUUAGAAGUGAGUGGAUUAUUAUACUUCCAUUGUUGCAUUUUGAAGGUUGCCAACUAUAUAUUCUUAAAUAAAAAAUCUUAUUAUUUAACAUUGAUUUUUUUCCUUAAAUAGAGUGGAUUAUUCUUCUUUAUGAAAAUUUUCAUUUGAUAUUAGAGGUUGUAGUUUAUUCUUCUCUAAUUAAACUUUUUGAAUUUUUUUUGAAUUGUCUAUGGAAGGAAAGAUUAUAGAUGCUACUCUUAGUGGAAGUGAAAAUAGAUUUGCAACUAUUAUAGAUCUUUAUGAGCUUAUCAAUAUUCUUAAAAUAGAAAUCUCAUAUAUUUCUAAUAUGAAUUAUGGAGAUACUAUUCCUGCAUCUAUGGAAGAAGUUCAAAGUCUAUGUCAAGAAGUUAUGCAGUUGAAGGAAGCAAGAAGAUUGGACUCACAACAAAAUUCAAAAAAUUUUGCUUCUAUGAAUAUAGUGGGAACAAGGAUUAAUAUGCCUAAGAAGUUUGAUGGAACAAGAUCAAAAUUUUGAAGAUUUUUGCAAUAAAUCAAGUUCUAAUUAAGGUUGCAACUCUUCCAAUACUCUAAUGGAUUUAUUCAAGUUGGGUUCAUAAACACACUUCUAUCUAGAAGUACUCUUUGUUGUUUAUACCUUUGAAAAAGAAAAAGAUUUACAAUUCUAUUAUAAUUUGAAUUCAUUCUUAUAAGUAUUUGCGACGAUAUUUGAAAAAAAUAAUUGAGAAAGAGUAGUAGAGAGUAAGUCCAUAUUUUUACAAUAAAGAUCACGAUCAACCACUAUAUAUGCUGCUAAAUCCUAAAACCUUGCUUGCAAUGUGGACUAGAAUGACAAAGUCUCUAUCAAUAAAUUUUGAUAUGGAUUGAAAGACAAUGUCAAAGAUUUAUUAUUCACAAUGCUAAAAGCAUAAUCUUUGAAAUAAUUUAUUACUCAAGUCAUUACAUAUGACAAUUGAUUAUUUAAAAAGUGUCAAGAUUAAGAUUUUUCUCAAAAAGAACAAAUCAAAUAAUGAUGGCAGUUCUUAAGUUUUCAAAAACUUAUUCAUCAAAGCCAAAAUCAAUACAAAUUGAUACAGUGUAUUUUAAACAUCUUACUAAGCAACAAAAGACUUAUUGCCAUCAAGAAGAUUUGUACCUAUAUUGUAGAGAAUUCAAGGAUACUGUUCAACAUUAUACAAAGAAGUAAUGCAAUCACAAAAUCAAGAGCAUGGUUGCUAAAGAAGAUAACAUGUUAGAAAACGAGUUUCUUUAGUUGUAAUAGGGACUAUUUAACUAGAAUCUUACACAACUACUAAUAAAGAUUAUAUUCUUUCUUUAAAUCCCUCACCUUUAUUUUAUAAUAGAAGUUUGUUUAAGAUCAAAAAAUUAAAAAGUCUUAGCUUUAUUAGAAUCAUGAGCCUCAAUUUAUUUUAUAGACAAAGAUUUUGUCAAAAAAUAAACUAUAUCUUUAAUUAAGAAAAUCAAGCCUAUGCAAAUAGAAGUCAUAGAUGGUUGUAUUUUUAUUGACUAGAGAUAUUACUUAUAAGACUAUUCUUUUAGAUGUAAAAAUUAAAGAUCAUAAUAGCAUAAUAAUAUUUAAUAUAAUAAGUUCACCAUCUAAUUUGAUUAUUUUAGGAUUAUUGUGGUUAAAAAAAUAUAACUCUUAAUUUAAUUAGAUUUCUUAUAAUCUCAAUUUUUUUGUUAGUUUAAUUUAAAAUCUUGUUAAUCAAGUAGAAAUACUUAAAUCUAAUACAUCCAAAUUUUUAUUAUUUGUCAUCAAUAUAUAUCUACUAUAAUUAUUAUUUAAGUAAUAUAAAUAGGUAGAAAUUUUUAAAAAUAGGUUAAUUUCAUAAUAUCUUCUAAAAGAGCUUUCUAGAAGCUUUUUAGAUGCUAUUUUGACUUUAAAUAUAUUUGUAGUUGAUUGAUAGGUUAAAAACUUGGUCAAUAAGCUAUCUAUGUGCCACAUGUGUUGGUAGCUUGUAGAAAAAGCUAACUAUGUAGCAUCCAUAUAGAAAACUUACCUUGCAAGUUAAGAUACAUGUCUCGUAAAGUCCACAUGUUUUUAGAGGUUCCAUAGAACGUCACCAUAUAGAUCCAAGUUAGAUAAUAUAUAUAGAGGUAAGAAUGAAGUUUUCUUCAUUUUUUUCAAUUCCUUUCUUAUUUCUAGUAUAGUUUCAAGAGUCUCUAAUUUCUUUGUCUUUUAGCAAUAGCCAUUCCAAUUCCUUUUUAAUAUACAUAUUUCAUUAUUAUUAUUAUUAAUAUUUUUUUUGUCACUUUUAUUUUGACACAUAUUUCCUAAGUUUAUGCACCUUCUUUUAGUUCAUGUGCAUGACAUUGGUAGAUGCAAGAACUUUUAUGCAUGCCACAAAAAAUGGUCAUCUUUUAUUAUAUAUGCCAUGCCCAUUUCUAAUGGUGGGGAGAUGUUAAGUGGUAUUCUUAGCUAACAUUAUGAUUUUUAAAACAUUUGUUUUAAAAAAAAAUGCAGAUAUUUUUUUAGAACAUUAUCCUUAUGAUUAUUUUAUCAAGCUUCAAGAAAGAACUCAACUACCAUUUGGACCAAUCCAUAGGCUAUGACAAAAUGAAUUGGCUACACUCAAGUACUAUAUUAUUAAAAACUUGGCUAAAAACUUCAUAGGCUAUUUUAAAUCUCUAGUUGAAGCUCUUAUCUUAUUUGUAAAGAUAAAAGAUGGAUCUUUGUGGACUAUGUGGACUAUUAAGGAUCCAAAAAGAUCAUUAUUAAGAAUAGGUAUUAUCUACCUUUGAUUUUAGGACUUUUUAAUCAAUUGAAUCAAAUAAAGGUCUAUAUAAAAAUAAAUCUAUAAAGAACAUAUAAUUUGGUACGUUGUCAUACUGUAAAUGCUUAUAGUAUGUAAAAAUUAGUUAGAACAUAUUACAUAUUAAUAAAUCUAGAUGUUUGUUAGAGUGGCUAGUAGAUUAAAUUAAAAGGAGUUGGUAUAAGAAACUUUACUUUGUUUCUUUACUUGUUUUGAUUUUGACAUUAAAUAUAUAUAUAUAUAUAUAUAUAUAUAUAUAUAUACAUAUAGGACCUAAAUGUUUAGUAUGAAGCCUUGGGAGAAGGUAAAAGCCUAAGGAUGAAAAUCUAAACUAAUAGGAGACUAAUUGAGAGGGAUAAAAGCAAGGCAUGGUCGGAUGAAGGCAAAGAAUGGAAAACUUCAUCCCUAUUGGUCGAAGGCCAUGUCCAAUGGGCUUCAAGGAGGCUGCCUGAGGCCUUAUUAGGGAUUAGGGUUCCUCUUUUGAGGGCAUUCAGAGAUUACAAGCUAGGGUUGUUAAGU